RNAcentral lists this long non-coding RNA (68327 nucleotides) under Triticum aestivum (bread wheat). RNAcentral describes it as "long non-coding RNA (TAES_LNC017808)". The stretch from base 42002 to 42070 matches the Rfam family "tRNA". Lineage: Eukaryota; Viridiplantae; Streptophyta; Magnoliopsida; Poales; Poaceae. The record is from RNAcentral.
CGCUGGUGGCGACAGCGACUGCGUGGCAUUCCUCCUCCUACUGCGACCAAGGUUAUCCCCAUUCUGCACUCCCCCCUCGUCUCUAGUUUGCUUCUCCAUGUUGAUGCCUUCCUCCCUUCGCCAUGUGCAGUCUUACUGCUCCAGAUCCACGGGCAACCUCUGGCUCUGCUUUCUUGCUGCAUCUGUAGUGACUUUGGCAGUUGUAGAUCAGUAGAGGUAGGUGUUGGGGAACGUAGCAGAAAUUCAAAAUUUUCUACACAUCACCAAGAUCAAUCUAUGGAGUAAUCUAGCACCGAGGGGAAGGGGAGUCCAUCUACAUACCAUUGUAGAUCGCGAUGCGGAAGCGUUGCAAGAACGCGGAUGAAGGAGUGGUACUCGUAGCGAUUCAGAUCGCGGUUGAAUCCGACCUAAGCGCCGAACCACGGCGCCUCCGCGUUCAACACACGUGCAGCCCGGUGACGUCUCCCACGCCUUGAUCCAGCAAGGAGAGAGGGAGAGGUUGGGGAAGACUCCGUCCAGCAGCAGCACAAAGGCAUGGUGGUGAUGGAGGAGCGUGGCAUUCCAGCAGGGCUUCGCCAACCACUACGAGAGACGAGGAGGGAAAGGGGUAGGGCUGCGCCAAAGAGAGAGGAUGACUCAUAUCUGCGGCAGCCCCAAAACCCCCACUAUAUAUAGGGGAGGGGGAGGGGCUGCGCCCCCAUCUAGGGUUCCCCCCCAAGGGGUGCGGCCAGCCCUAGAUGGGACUUGGAGGGGCGGCCAACGGGGGAGAGAGGGGGGCGCACCACUAGGUGGGCCUUAGGCCCAUCUGAGCCUAGGGUUUCCCCCUUCCCCCUUCUCUGCGCCUUGGGCCCCUUGUGGGAGGCGCACCAGCCCACCUAGGGGCUGGUCCCUUCCCACACUUGGCCCACGCAGCCCUCUGGGGCCGGUGACCCCACCUGGUGGACCCCCGGGACCCUCCCGGUGGUCCCGGUACGUUACCGAUAGCACCCGAAACUUUUCCGGUGACCAAAACAGGACUUCCCAUAUAUAAAUCUUUAUCUCCGGACCAUUUCGGAAAUCCUCGUGACGUCCGGGAUCUCAUCCGGGACUCUGAACAACAUUCGGUAACCACGUAUAUCUAUUCCCUAUAACCCUAGCGUCAUCGAACCUUAAGUGUGUAGACCCUACGGGUUCGGGAACCAUGCAGACAUGACCGAGACGUUCUCCGGCCAAUAACCAACAGCGGGAUCUGGAUACCCAUGUUGGCUCCCACAUGUUCCACGAUGAUCUCAUCAGAUGAACCACGAUGUCGGGGAUUCAAUCAAUCCCGUAUACAAUUCCCUUUGUCUACCGGUAUAGUACUUGCCCGAGAUUCGAUCGUCGGUAUCCCGAUACCUUGUUCAAUCUCGUUACCGGCAAGUCUCUUUACUCGUUCCAUAACACAUCAUCCCGUGAUCAACUCCGUGGUCACAUUUUGCACAUUAUGAUGAUGUCCUACCGAGUGGGCCCAGAGAUACCUCUCCGUUUACACGGAGUGACAAAUCCCAGUCUCGAUUCGUGCCAACCCAACAGACACUUUCGGAGAUACCUGUAGUGCACCUUUAUAGCCACCCAGUUACGUUGUGACGUUUGGUACACCCAAAGCAUUCCUACGGUAUCCGGGAGUUGCACAAUCUCAUGGUCUAAGGAAAUGAUACUUGACAUUAGAAAAGCUCUUAGCAAACGAACUACACGAUCUUGUGCUAGGCUUAGGAUUGGGUCUUGUCCAUCACAUCAUUCUCCUAAUGAUGUGAUCUCGUUAUCAACGACAUCCAAUGUCCAUGGUCAGGAAACGGUAACCAUCUAUUGAUCAACGAGCUAGUCAACUAGAGGCUUACUAGGGACAUGGUGUUGUCUAUGUAUCCACACAUGUAUCUGAGUUUCCUAUCAAUACAAUUUUAGCAUGGAUAAUAAACGAUUAUCAUGAACAAGGAAAUAUAAUAAUAACCAAUUUAUUAUUGCCUCUAGGGCAUAUUUCUAACAGUCUCCCACUUGCACUAGAGUCAAUAAUCUAGUUCACAUCGCCAUGUGAUUAAUACCCAAGAGUUUACUAGACUCAAUAAUCUAGUUCACAUCACCAUGUGAUGGUAAUGAAUCCAACACCCAUGGGGUUUGUUCAUAUCUCGCUUGUGAGAGAGGUUAUUAGUCAACGGGUCUGAACCUUUCAGAUCCGUGUGUGCUUUACGAAUAUCUAUGUCAUCUUGUAGAUGCAGCUACCACGCGCUACUUGGAGCUAUUCCAAAUAACUGCUCUACUAUACGAAUCCGGUUUACUACUCAGAGUCAUCCGGAUUAGUGUCAAAGUUUGCAUCGACGUAACCCUUUACGACGAACUCCUUUUCACCUCCAUAAUCGAGAAAAUUCCUUAGUCCACUUGAUACUAAGGAUAAGUUCGACCGCUGUCAUGUGAUCCAUUCCCGGAUCACUAUUGUACCCCUUGACUAACUCAUGGCAAGGCACACUUCAUGUGCGGUACACAACAUAGCAUACUGUAGAGCCUACGUCUAAAGCAUAGGGGACGACCUUCGUCCUUUCUCUCUCUUCUGCUGUGGUCAGGUCUUGAGUCUUACUCAAUACUCACACCUCGUAACACAGCCAAGAACUCCUUCUUUGCUGAUCCAUUUUGAACUCCUUCAAAAACUUGUCACGGUAUGUAUUCAUUUGAAAGUACUAUUAAGCGUUUUUGAUCUAUCCUUAUAGAUCUUGAUGCUCAAUGUUCAAGUAGCUUAAUCCAGGUUUUCCAUUGAAAAACACUUUUCAAAUAACCCUGUAUGCUUUCCAGAAAUUCUACAUCAUUUCUGAUCAACAAUAUGUUAACAACAUAUACUCAUCAAAAAUUCUAUAGUGCUCCCACUCACUUCUUUGGAAAUACAAGUUUCUCAUAAACUUUGUAUAAACCCAAUUCUUUGAUCAUCUCAUCAAAGCGUACAUUCCAACUCCGAGAUGCUUACUCCAGUCCUUAGAAGGAUUGCUGGAGCUUUGCAUACUUGUUAGCAUCUUUCAGGAUUGACAAAACCUUCUGGUUGUAUCACAUACAACCUUUCCUCAAGAAAAUCGUCGAGGAAACAAUGUUUUGAUAUCCUAUCUACAAGAUUUCAUUAAUAAUGCAGUAACUGCUAAUACAAUUCCAACAGACUCUUAGCAUCGCUACGAGUGAGAAAGUCUCAUCGUAGUCAACUCCUUGAACUUGUCGGAAAACAUCUUAACGACAAGCUGAGCUUUCUUAAUGGUGACACUUACCAUCAUUGUGUGUCUUCCAUUUAAAAUCCAUCUGCACCCAACAGCCUUACGACCAUCAAGUAUUUCUUCCAAAGUCUAUACUUUGCUUUUAUACAUGAAUCCUCUCUCGGAUUUCAUGGCCUCGAGCCAUUCAUCGGAAUCCGGGCCCACCAUCGCUUCUCCAUAGCUCGUAGGUUCAUUGUUGUCUAGCAACAUGACUUCCAAGACAGGAUCACGUACCACUCUGAAGUAGUAUGCAUCCUCGUCGUCCUACGAGGUUUGGUAGUGACUUGAUCCGAAGUUUCAUGAUCACUAUCAUAAGCUUCCACUUCAAUUGGUGUAGGUGCCACAGGAACAACUUCCUGUGCCCUGCUACACACUAGUUGAAGUCAUGGUUCAAUAACCUCAUCAAGUCUCCACCAUCCUCCCACUCAAUUCUUUCGAGAUAAACUUUUUCUCGAGAAAGGACCUGUUUACUUCCAGAUCUGAAACAGGAGGUAUACCCAACUGUUUUGGGUAUUCUAUGAAGAUGCAUUUAUCCGCUUUGGGUUCGAGCUUAUCAGCCUGAAACUUUUUCACGUAAGCAUCGCAGCCCCAAACUUUUAAGAAACGACAACUUAGGUUUCUCUAAACGGUGUUGUCUCAACGGAAUUGCGUGGUGCCCUAUUUAAAGUGAAUGCGGUUGUCUCUAAUGCCUAACCCAUAAACGAUAGUGGUAAAGAGAUAUCAUGGUAUGCACCAUAUCCAAUAGGGUGCAGUUAUGAUGUUCGGACACACCAUCACAUUGUGGUGUUCCAGGCGGUAUUAAUUGUGAAACACUUUCCACAAUGUCUUAAUUGUGUGCCAAACUCGUGACUCAGAUAUCUCUAUGAUCAUAUCAUAGACAUUUUAUCCUCUUGUCACGACGAUCUUCAACUUCACUCUGAGAUUACUUGAACCUUUCAAUAAUUCAGACUUGUGUUUCAUCAAGUAAAUAUUCUCAGCAUCUACUCAAAUCAUCUGUGAAGUAAGAACAUAUCGAUAUCCACUGCGUGCCUCAGCACUCAUUGGACUGCACACAUCAAAUGUAUUACUUCCAACAAGUUGCUCUCUUGUUCCAUCUUACUGAAAACGAGGCCUUUCAGUCAUCUUGCCCAUGUGGUAUGAUUUGCAUGUCUCAAGUGAUUCAAAAUCAAGUGAGUCCAAACGAUCCAUCUGCAUGGAGUUUAUUCAUGCAUAUAUACCAAUAGACAUGGUUCGCAUGUCUCAAUCUUUUCAAAAACGAGUGAGUCCAAAGAUCCAUCUACAUGGAGCUUCUUCAUGCGUUCUAUACCAAUAUGACUCAAAUGGCAGUGCCACAAGUAUGUGGUACAAUCAUUACUAUUUUAUAUCUUUUGGCACGAACAUGUGUAUCACUGCGAUCGAGAUUCAUUUUAGGUGCAAGACCAUUGAAGGUAUUAUUCAAAUAAACAGAGUAACCAUUAUUCUCCUUAAAUGAAUAACCGUAUUGCGAUAAACAUAAUCCAAUCAUGUUUAUGCUCAACGCAAACACAAAAUAACAAUUAUUUAGGUUUAACACCAAUCUCGAUGGUAGAGGGAGCAUGCGAUGCUUGAUCAUAUCAACCUUGGAAACACUUCCAACACAUAUCGUCAUCUCACCUUUAGCUAGUCUCCGUUUAUUCCGCAGCUUUUAUUUCGAGUUACUAACACUUAGCAACCGAACCGGUAUCUAAUACCCUGGUGCUGCUAGGAGUACUAGAAAAGUACACAUUCAUAUAAUGUAUAUCCAAUAUACUUCUGUCGACCUUGCCUGCCUUCUCAUCUACCAAGUAUCUAGGGUAGUUCUGCUUCAGUGACCGUUCCCCUCAUUACAGAAGCACUUAGUCUCGGGUUUGGGUUCAACCUUGGGAUUCUUCACUAGAGCAGCAAAUGAUUUGUUGUUUCAUGAAGUAUCCCUUUUGCCCUUGCCCUUCUUGAAACUAGUGGUUUUACUAACCAUCAACAAUUGAUGCUCCUAUUUGAUUUCUACUUUCACGGUGUCAAACAUUGCGGAUAGCUCAAGGAUCAUCAUAUCUAUCCCUGAUAUGUUAUAGUUCAUCACGAAGCUCUAAUAGCUUGGUGGCAGUGACUAUGGAGAACCAUCACUAUCUCAUCUGGAAGAUUAACUCCCACUCGAUUUAAGCGAUUGUGGUACUCAGACAAUCUGAGCACAUGCUCAACGAUUGAGCUUUUCUCCCUUAGUUUGCAGGCUUAAGAAACUUGUCAGGGGUCUCAUACCUCUUGACGUGGGCACUAGUCUGACAUCCCAAUUUCAGUCUUCGGAACAUCUCAUAUGUUCUGUGGCGUUUCAAAACGUCUUUGGUGCCACAAUUCUAAACCGUUAGCAUUACGCACUGAACUAUCACAUAGUCAUCAAAACGUGUAUGCCAGAUGUUUCGCAACAUCUACAGACGACGCUGAGGUUCAGCACACCGAGCGGUGCAUUAAGGACAUAAGCCUUCUGUGCAGCAAUGAGGACAAUCCUCAGUUUACGGACCCAGUCCGCAUAAUUGCUACUAUCAACUUUCAACUAAAUUUUCUCUAGGAACAUAUCUUAAACAGUAGAACUAAAGCGUAAGCUAUGACAUAAUUUGCAAAGACCUUUUGACUAUGUUCAUGAUAAUUAAGUUCAUCUGAUUAUUUAAUGAACUCCCACUCAGAUAGACAUCCCUCUAGUCAUCUAAGUGAUACAUGAUCCGAGUCAAACUAGGUCGUGUCCGAUCAUCACGUGAGACGGACUAGUCAUCAUCGGUGAACAUCUCCAUGUGGAUCGCAUCUACUAUACGACUCAUGUUCGACCUUUCGAUCUCUUGUGUUCCGAGGCCAUGUCUAUACAUGCUAGGCUCGCCAAGUCAACCUAAGUGUUUCGCAUGUGUUCCGAGGCCAUGUCUGUACAUGCUAGGCUCGUCAACACCCGUUGUAUUCGAACGUUAGAAUCUAUCACACCCGAUCAUCACGUGGUGCUUCGAAACAACGAACCUUCGCAACGGUGCACAGUUAGGGGGAACACGUCUCUUGAAAUUUUAGUGAGGGAUCAUCUUAUUUAUGCUACCGUUGUUCUAAGAAAAUAAGAUGUAAACAUGAAAAACAUCACAUGCAAAUCAUAAAGUGACGUGAUAUGGCCAAUAUCAUCUUGCGCCUUUGAUCUCCAUCUUCGAGGCGCGGCAUGAUCACCUUCGUCACCGGCAUGACACCAUGAUCUCCAUCAUCAUGAUCUCCAUCAUCGUGUCUUCAUGAAGUUGUCUCGCCAACUAUUACUUCUACUACUAUGGCUAACGGUUAGCAAAAAAGUAAAGUAAUUACAUGGCGUUUUCAUUGACACGCAGGUCAUACAAUAAAUUAAGACAACUCUUAUGGCUCCUGCCGGUUGUCAUACUCAUCGACAUGCAAGUCGUGAUUCCUAUUACAAGAACAUGAUCAAUAUCAUACAUCACAUAUAUCAUUCAUCACAUCCUUUUGGCCAUAUCACAUCACAUAGUAUACCCUGCAAAAAUAAGUUAGACGUCCUCUAAUUGUUAUUGCAUGUUUUACGUGGCUGCUAUGGGAUUCUAGCAAGAACGUUUCUUACCUACGCAAAAGCCACAACAUGAUAUGCCAAUUUCUAUUUACCCUUCAUAAAGACCCUUUUCAUCGAAUCCGAUCCGACUAAAGUGGGAGAGACAGACACCCGCUAGCCACCUUAUACAACUAGUGCAUGUCAGUCGGUGGAACCUGUCUCACGUAAGUGUACGUGUAAGGUCGGUCCGGGCCGCUUCAUCCCACGAUACCGCCGAAUCAAGAUAAGACUAGUAACGGCAAGUAAAUUGACAAAAUCGACGCCAACAACUACUUUGUGUUCUACUCGUGCAUAGAAACUACGCAUAGACCUAGCUCAUGAUGCCACUGUUGGGGAACGUAGCAGAAAUUCAAAAUUUUCUACGCAUCACCAAGAUCAAUCUAUGGAGUAAUCUAGCAGCGAGGGGAAGGGGAGUGCAUCUACAUACCAUUGUAGAUCGCGAUGCGGAAGCGUUGCAAGAACGCGGAUGAAGGAGUCGUACUCAUAGCAAUUCAGAUCGCGGUUGAUUCCGAUCUAAGCGCCGAACCACGUCGCCUCCGCGUUCAACACACGUGCAGCCCGGUGACGUCUCCCACGCCUUGAUCCAGCAAGGAGAGAGGGAGAGGUUGGGGAAGACUCCGUCCAGCAGCAGCACAACGGCAUGGUGGUGAUGGAGGAGCGUGGCACUCCAACAGGGCUUCGCCAAGCACUGCGAGAGACGAGGAGGGAAAGGGGUAGGGCUGCGCCAAAGAGAGAGGAUGACUCAUAUCUGUGGCAGCCCCAAAACCCCCACUAUAUAUAGGGGGGGGAGGGGCUGCGCCCCCAUCUAGGGUUCCCCCCCCCCCCAAGGGGUGCGGCCAGCCCUAGAUGGGACUUGGAGGGGCGGCCAAGGGGGGGAGAGGGGGGCGCACCACUAGGUGGGCUUUAGGCCCAUCUGAGCCAAGGGUUUCCCCCUUCCCCCUUCCCUGCGCCUUGGGCCCCUUGUGGGAGGCGCACCAGCCCACCUAGGGGCUGGUCCCUUCCCACACUUGGCCCACGCAGCCCUCUGGGGCCGGUGGCCCCACUUGGUGGACCCCCGGGACCCUCCCGGUGGUCCCGGUACGUUAUCGAUAGCACCCGAAACUUUUCCGGUGACCAAAACAGGACUUCCCAUAUAUAAAUAUUUAUCUCCGGACCAUUCUGGAACUCCUCGUGAUGUCCGGGAUCUCAUCCGGGACUCCGAACAACAUUCGGUAACCACGUAUAUCUAUUCCCUAUAACCCUAGCGUCAUCGAACCUUAAGUGUGUAGAUCCUACGGGUUCGGGAACCAUGCAGACAUGACCAAGACGUUCUCCGGCCAAUAACCAACAGCGGGAUCUGGAUACCCAUGUUGGCUCCCACAUGUUCCACGAUGAUCUCAUAGGAUGAACCAUGAUGUCGGGGAUUCAAUCAAUCCCGUAUACAAUUCCCUUUGUCUACCGGUAUAGUACUUGCCCGAGAUUCGAUCGUCGGUAUCCCGAUACCUUGUUCAAUCACGUUACCGGCAAGUCUCUUUACUCGUUCCGUAAUACAUCAUCCCGUGAUCAACUCCUUGGUCACAUUGUGCACAUUAUGAUGAUGUCCUACCGAGUGGGCCCAGAGAUACCUCUCCGUUUACACGGAGUGACAAAUCCCAGUCUCGAUUCGUGCCAACCCAACAGACACUUUCGGAGAUACCUGUAGUGCACCUUUAUAGCCACCCAGUUACGUUGUGACGUUUGGUACACCCAAAGCAUUCCUACGGUAUCCGGGAGUUGCACAAUCUCAUGGUCUAAGGAAAUGAUACUUGACAUUAGAAAAGCUCUUAGCAAACGAACUACACGAUCUUGUGCUAGGCUUAGGAUUGGGUCUUGUCCAUCUCAUCGUUCUCCUAAUGAUGUGAUCCCGUUAUCAAUGACAUCCGAUGUCCAUGGUCAGGAAACCGUAACCAUCUAUUGAUCAACGAGCUAGUCAACUAGAGGCUUACUAGGGACAUGGUGUUGUCUAUGUAUCCACACAUGUAUCUGAGUUUCCUAUCAAUACAAUUUUAGCAUGGAUAAUAAACGAUUAUCAUGAACAAGGAAAUAUAAUAAUAACCAAUUAAUUAUUUCCUCUAGGGCAUAUUUCUAACAGUAGGUGUCUCUCGAUUAGAUCAAACACUUCAACCGAGACAAUGAUAUUCUACAUGAUGUUGACAAUGUAUAAAUUCGUAUACAUGUGGUCUCUUCUAACAAAGUUAACAGAGAAAAUACAAUGAUAUUCUACAUGAUGUUGACAAUGUAUAAUAUACUUCCGCAAUUUAACAUCAGUUUUAAGCCGAAGAAAAUUACUUUAGGUUUCGUGGUGGUCUAAAUAUUGCGGCUAGUGUGCUCAUAUGCUGAACUUAAUACGCAGCUUAAUCCUUCGAUUCAUAUAUUGUAACGCCCACGAUGCGGCUAUAACUCCCACGUGUCGAGGCACGACUUAGAGGCAUAACCGCAUUGUGGUUUUGUCGCAAGAAGGGUCAUCUUCACACAAUCCCAUGUAAUGAACAAGAAUGGGAUAACGAGAGUUGGCUUACAAUCGCCACUUCACACAAUACAUAAAUAUAAUUCAUACAUCAUCCAAAAUCCACACAUAGACCGACUACGGUCGAAUCCAAAUGAAAAUAAGAUAACCCCAAAUGCUAGAUCCCCGAUCGUCCCAACUGGGCUCCACUACUGAUCAUCAGGAAAAGAAACAUAGUAACAACCACGUCCUCAUUGAACUCGCACUUGAGCUCGGUUGCGUCAUCUGCACUGGCAUCGUCGGCACCUGCAACUGUUUUGGUAGAAUCUGUGAGUCACGAGGACUCAGCAAUCUCACACCCACGAGAUCAAAAAUAUUUAAGCUUAUAGGAAAGGGUGGUGUAAUGAGGUGGAGCUGCAGCAAGCACUAAGCAUAUAUGGUGGCUAACAUACACAAAUGAGAGCGAGAAGAGAAGCAACGCAACGGUCGCGAAGCUAGAAGUGAUCAAGAAGUGAUCCUGAAACUACUUACGUUCAUGCAUAACUCAAACCAUAUUCACUUCCUGGACUCCGCCGAGAAGAGACCAUCACGGCUACACACACGGUUGAUGUAUUUUAAUUAAGUCAAGUGACAAGUUCUCUACAACCGGACAUUAACAAAUUCCCAUCUGCCUCAUAACCGCGGGCACGGCUUUCGAAAGAUAACACCCUGCAGGGGUGUCCCAACUUAACCCAUCAUAAGCUCUCACGGUCAACGAAGGAUAAACCUUCUCCCGGGAAGACCCGAUCAGUCUCGGAAUCCCGGUUUACAAGACAUUUCGACAAUGGUAAAACAAGACCAGCAAAGCCACCCGAAUGUGCCGACAAAUCCCGAUAGGAGCUGCACAUAUCUCGUUCUCAGGGCACACCGAAUGAGCCAGACGUCGGGUUGGCAUAGACCCUGGUUGCCCAGGGGGCGCCGGACAUCGCUCGGUUUGGGCCAGCACUCGAAGGAGCACUGGUCCGGGGGGGUUAAAAUAAAGAUGACCCUCGGGCUCGCGAAAACCCAAGGGAAAAAGGCUUAGGUGGCAAAUGGUAAAACCAAGGUUGGGCCUUGCUGGAGGAGUUUUAUUCAAGGCGAACUGUCAAGGGGGUCCCAUAAAUCACCCAACCGCGUAAGGAACGCAAACUCAAGGAACAUAAUACCGGUAUGACGGAAACUAGGGCGGCAAGAGUGGAACAAAACACCAGGCAUAAGGCCGAGCCUUCCACCCUUUACCAAAUAUAUAGAUGCAUUAAUUAAAUAAGAGAUAUUGUGAUAUUCCAAAAUAUCCAUGUUCCAACAUGGAACCAACUUCAACUUCACCUGCAACUAGCAACGCUAUAAGAAGGGCUGAGCAAAAGCGGUAACUUAGCCAAACAACGGUUUGCUAGGAAAGGAUGGUUAGAGGCUUGACAUGGCAAAUAUGGGAGGCAUGAUAUAGCAAGUGGUAGGUAGCGCAGCAUAGCAAUAGAACGAACAACUAGCAAAGCAAAGAUAGAAGUGAUUUCGAGGGUAUGGUCAUCUUGCCUGCAAGGUUCUUAGAGUUGUCGAAAGCUUGAUCCUCGUAAGCGUACUCAACAGGUUCCUCAUGCAUGAACUCGUCUCCCGGCUCUACCCACAACAAGAACAAAAGCAAUGGAACCACAAUCAAUCACGGGAAAUGCACAAGCAACAUGAUGCAAAACAUGCAUGAUAUGCGAGAUAUGAUAUGCGAUGCAUAUGCGUGCUCCGGAAGAAAGGAAUGAACAAGGCAGUAACUUGGCAAAACAAGUAUGCCACUGGACAGAUGAGAUGAUUUUGGUCGAAAUCGAUAUAAAGAUCACCGGAAACGGAUGCACGGUUUGCAAAUGACAAGCAAAACAAGAAUGACACGAUUCUGCGAUUAACAGCAUGAUAGCACUUAGAAUGCAACAAGUAACUAUGCUACGGCACCCCAACAUAGCAACAAAGCAUAUGGCAGUAAUCUACAGGAGAUGCUUGAAAAAGAUGAACACUGAGCUACGUCUAGAUCACAUCAUAACAGGUUCAAACAAGCACGAAACGGAGCAGUAUGCACGGAGUUAUGAUGCGAUGAACAUGAGCACAUAAAGUGAAAUAUACGGGACUUGGGAGAAUUUCGGGGGAGGGGAGAAGUCAACCUUCGAACGAGAUCUGGAUCGGGCGCGGCUCGAGCUCGCCGGAGCUCGCGCUGGAGUUGGAGACGUUUAUGUUGCAGGAUCAGUUUAACAUGAAUAAAUCCAAAUUAAACUGGGGGCUAAUGUCGGGGAUAUACCCCGUGGUAUGACCCGGCCGGAAGUAUGACCCGGUCGGACUUGUCGCUUCACCGUGGACCCGCCGGAGGACUGACGACUCACGAGCCUGACGAUUCAUGGAUGGCCCCGAUGGCGGGUCAGAUAGAAGACAAGUCCCAAGGCCCAGAAGGCCGGCUCACGUUUAUGAUGGGCCGGCUUAAGACGGAAGGCAUGAGGAAUAUUUCCUUUACAAGGAAAUAUUCCCGUACUUGUAUACGACUUGUAAUAGAGAAUAAGUUAGUUCUAAUCCUACUAGGACUCUACAUGUAAAGCCGCCUCUCCAACUUAUAUAAGGAGGGGCAGGGCACCCCAAAGAGGAACAAGAAACAAUCUCUAGGGCUAGACACCGAGAGCCGGUUCCCGGCGACUCUCCCGUCAUCAUAAUGAGACCUAGCCUCAAACAGCAUGUAGGGUUGUUACCGGAUGAUGUUUCCCGGGGCCCGAAGCUGUCUAAAUCCUCGUCUUAUGUUGCGUCUCUCGAUUCCGCUCAGCCCCUCUCAAGCUACCACAUAGAUGCGUUGGCCUCGCGACUAAGUCCUGACACCAAGGACAUCUGCCGUGACAAAUCUACGACAAAUCUCGAAUGGGGCCUUGCCCGAACUCGCUUGGAAGCUGUUGUUGUAGGAGAAUUCGGCAUAUGGAAGACAAUCUUCCCAUUUCAUGCCAAAGGAAAUGACACAAGCCCUGAGCAUAUCUUCAAGAAUUUGAUUGACUCGCUCGACUUGGCCACUAGUUUGAGGAUGGAAAGCUAUGCUGAAGCGAAUGUUUGUGCCCAUGGCCUUCUGGAAGGAGUUCCAGAACUUAGAAGUGAAGAUGCUUCCAUGAUCUGAAGAAAUCAAUUGUGGAAUGCCGUGCAAAGAGACAAUCCUGGAGGUGUAUAGCUCUGCCAACUGAGCUGCUGUGAUAGAUUCUUUGAUUGGAAGGAAAUGAGCCACUUUUGUAAGCUUGUCAAUGGCAACGAAGAUAGCAUCAUUUCCACGCUUGGACUUGGGAAAUCCAAUCACGAAGUCCAUUUCGAUAUGAUCAAACUUCCAUUCUGGGAUAGCAAGAGGUUGGAGGAGACCAGCUGGUCGUUGGUGUUCUGCUUUCACCCUUCGACAGACAUCACAUUCAUUCACGAAUUGAGUGAUUUCUCGCUUCAUUCGAGUCCACCAAUACGACUGCUUGAGGUCAUGGUACAUGUUCGUACUUCCAGGAUGAAUGGAAAGAAGAGAAUUGUGCGCCUCGUUCAUAAUGACUUUCCUUAGAUCACCUUUAGGAACCACAAUCCGGUCCUCGAAGAAUAAAGUGUCUCUGUCAUCAAUGCGAUAGCACUUGUAUUUGGAAAGACCCUUGUCGAUACCACGUUUCACCUUCUUCACCAUGGCAUCAAGAAGUUGUGCCUCAUGAAUUUGAUCUUCCAAAGUAGGAGAGACUAUUAGGUUUGCAAGAAAGCCUUGAGGAACAACUUGGAGAUUCAGCUUGCGGAAAGCUUCACAAAGAUCCGGUCGGAAUGGCUUGAGAAUUAGGCUGUUGCAAUAAGCCUUCCUGCUCAAAGCAUCUGCAAUGACAUUGGCUUUUCCUGGAGUAUAUUCAAUACUCGGAUUGUACUCUUGAAUCAUUUCAACCCAUCGAGUCUGUCGGAGGUUGAGGUUGGGCUGAGUGAAGAUGUACUUGAGACUCUUGUGAUCGGUGAAUAUGUCCACUUUUCUUCCCAACAAGAGAUGUCUCCAUGUGAUUAAUGCAUGGACAACUGCCGCCAACUCAAGAUCGUGAGUGGGGUAGUUCUUUUUGUUGGGCUUCAACUGAUGAGAGGUAUAGGCCACAACUUUCUUCUCUUGCAUUAACACAGCACCGAGACCUUGAAGAGAAGCAUCACAGAAAACUUUGAAUGGCUUGGAUUCGUCAGGUGGAGUUAAGACAGGAGCUGUGACGAGUUUCUCUUUGAGAGUGAUGAAAGCAACAUCACACUCAGGAGUCCAAACAUACUUCACAUGCUUCUGAAGGAGGUUGGAAAGAGGCUUUGCAAUCUUAGAGAAAUUCUCAACGAAUCUUCGGCAAUAGCUUGCAAGACCAAGAAAACUGCGAAGCUGCUUGACAUUCUGAGGAGGUACCCAAUUCACAAUUGUAGACACCUUCUCGGGAUUAACAGCGAUGCCCUUGGCAGAGAUGAUAUGACCAAGGUAAAGAACUUCAUCAAGCCAAAACUCACAUUUUGAAAACUUCGCAUAGAAUUGAUACUCUCUGAGCUUGUCGAGCACCAAUCGCAAAUGUUUGGCAUGAUCCUUCUUAUUCUUGGAGAAGACCAAGAUAUCAUCGAGAUACACUAGGACGAGUUCAUUGGUAUAGGGGUUGAAGAUGAAAUUCAUCAUUCGAGAGAAUGUUGGAGGAGCAUUGACAAGGCCGAAAGACAUGACAGUAUAUUCAUAAGAACCAAAGCUUGUUCUGAAAGCUGUCUUGGGAAUAUCUUCUUCACGAAUGCAAAUAUGAUGAUAACCCAUACGAAGGUCAAUCUUGGAGAAUACUUUAGCACCUUUAAGUUGCUCGAAUAGUUCAUUGAUGUUGGGAAGUGGAUACUUGUUCUUGAUUGUCUUCUUGUUCAAUGGACGGUAGUCGACACAAAGUCUGUCUGUGCCAUCCUUCUUCUAGACAAAAAGAACACCACAACCCCAUGGAGAUGAACUCGGUCUGAUCAAACCCAGACGCUCUUGUUCAUCGAGCUAUUUCUUCAAUUCCUUCAGCUCCUUGGGUCCAAGCUUAUAAGGACGCUUGCAAACGGGUUCAAUGCCAGGCUCAAGAUCGAUAACGAACUCAACUGGCCGGUGAGGAGGCAUACCCGGAAGCUCUUCUGGAAAGACAUCUUGGUACUCACAAACGACUAGAAUCUGAGAGAUGGCAUUCAACUCGCCCUUCUCAUUGAGUGAAAAUAACCGAAUGGUUUCAUCACGAGUGGCAUAGAUAAUCACAUCCUUAGAAGAGUGUGUCAAUUGAAUUUCCCUGGGAGCACAAUCAGGUUGAGCCUUGUGCUUAGAAAGCCAGUCCAUCCCGAGAAUAAGAUCAAUAUCUGAGUCACCAAGGACAAUUGGAGAAGACAGAAAUUUAUAAUCGCCCAUCUUGAUGGAAACAUCCGGAACCACCAAACUAGAACUCAAAGGUUUACCCGGAGAAACGCAUCCAUGGGUUUACCCAAAUGUGAACAAGUGAAUUCAUGCUUGGCAAAAAACGGUCUUGAAAUGAAACAAAGCGAAGCACCAGUGUCAAAUAAGACUUUUGCAGGAAUAUCAUUAACUGAGAGAUUACCCAUUAUCACAUCAGUAGAUUCCUCCGCUUGAGCUGCAUUCAUCAUGUUCACCUUUGCAGACUUGGGAUUAUGCUUGACCACUGCAUUGCUGGAAGAUCUCACAGGAGGAGGAGGCGGAAGACGCCUUUUGUCGGGGAUAUACCCCGCGGUAUGACCCGGCCGGGAGUAUGACCCGGCCGGACAUGGCGCUUCAUCAUAACCCGGCGGAGGAUUGGCGACUCAUGAGCCUGGCGACUUAAUGAUGGCCCCGACGGCGGGUCAGACAGAAGAGUAGGCCCAAGGCCCAGAAGGCCGGCUCAUGUUAUGGUGGGCCGGUUUAUGAGGAAAGGCAUAAGGAAUAUUCUCCUACCAAGGAAGCAAGACCCGGACUUGUAUUCAACUUGCAAGAAAAGAUAGACUAGUCUUAGUCCUACUAGGACUCCGCAUGUAACCCGCCCCUCUAACUUAUAUAAGGAGGGGCAGGGCACCCCAAAGAGGGACGGACAAGACAAGAAACAAUCUCUAGGGCUAAACACUGAGAGCCGGUUCCCGGCGACUCUCCCGUGAUCAUAAUGAGACCUAGCCUCAAACAGGAUGUAGGGUUGUUACCGGAUGAUGUUUCCCGGGGCCCGAAGCUGUCUAAAUCCUUGUCUUCUGUUGCGUCUCUCGAUUCCGCUCAACCCCUCUCAAGCUACCACAUAGAUGUGUUGGCCUCGCGACUAAGUCCUGACACUAAGGACAUCUGCCGUGACAAUUCCACGACAGUUGGCGCCCACCGUGGGGCCUGCGCACGGUGGUGUUGAGUUCUUGGAGGGAUCUAUUUCAGGGAUCAAGAAGCUCGCGGUACGGAUGAAGAACUAGCGUGGAGCAACAGUAUGGCAAAGCCAUGACCGGGUUAAUUAAAUUUGAUGGUCAACUUUGGAGCGGGCCGUAUGAAUUUUGAGUUCAAAACAAAUUAGGGUUUGGAUUUCUGCUGUGCGCCGCUGACGCAAAGUGAUCCGUCGAAUCCGGUCAAUCAACAAGUGCGUGUGCAGGCAAGGGUCAAGACCCCGAGGUGGUUUCGUAAAGUGAUCUACUACUUUGAUUAUGCUGCUAUUUUCAUGGAGGCAAUACUACUAUAGCAAGACUCAGCGGCGGUUAUUCAUAUAAAGGGAUCCAUCCAUUGAUCCAUCAACACAAGAAGAAAAGUCAAACCAACAACAAAUCAGAGAACCCGGGUAGGCAUUGGACUCCAAUUCCGCUUCCGCCGGCUGGCAUCGCCGCUACGGUCCACCUCCGCCGGCUCGCUUCUGCCAUGGCCCGCCUCUGCUGCUAUUUUUUCUGGUGUCAGGACCAAGUCAAAUCUGAAAUACGUGAUGAAGGGAAUACUACUCCAUUGCUACUAUCUGCAUAAAGUGAUCCAUCUAGUACUCGGAUACUUCCCAUGUUAACGCUCAAACUUUGAGGAGGCAAUCUGUACAAAAAAAGAAAAAUAGCAUUGUUUGGCUUACGUGUACAUGCAUGUCGGGCAAGGACUCCAACACCUGAUCGGAUUGACAAAAUCAACGCCAAAACGGUCACUUGGCCAGCUCUGCACCUUGCCUCUGAACCGUGGUAACACACACCACGUACCGGUUCUACUGCUCCUCCGUGUGACUCUGCGAUCGCGCCGGGUCAAGCCGGCCUCCCUUGCAGGCCGCGCCUUCGCCGUCGCACCUUGAGCUGCCGCCUGCCUCUACUCUGCGGCCUCACGCCGAGCCGACCGCCGUUGAGCCGCACCUGCAAGCUGCCCUUGCCGUGAGGCCAAGUCGGCGCCGUCCACUACCACCGCUGGGGCCUCGUCUUGUCAGGCUCACCUUUGAGUCACUAUCUGCCGCUGUCGCAGGGCCAUCGGGCGCCGGCCGCUUCGAGUCGCCGGCCGCCUUGCAUCUCCUCAUCGGGACGUUUUGUUGCUCUGAGCCGCCGGCCUCGCCUCUAUCUGCUGCCGAAAGCCGGUUACGCCUCUAUCUGUGAGCCGCACCAUGUUUUUAGUCGUCAUCUCGACCCGCAAACACACAACCAGCCCGACUGGUCAACCCAUUGCGCCAACACCCAGAGGUCCAGGGAUCUAUUCCGGUGAGCAUUCACCGCGCUGGUCCUAACGUCGAGCCGGCCUGGCCCUGAGCCUCCCCGGCCCCGCUCUGCUUCACCUCCUCCGACUGCGCUUUGAGUCGCCAGCCGCCUCUCCCACUGGCAGUCUGCACCACAAGUCGCUGGAUGCCAGACUAAAGAAAAAUACGGUUCAGGAACCAUCCGGUGAUGUGCCUCGCCGGAGAGCUUCUGUGACUUACCGCUGCCACUCCGAGAGUCGCCGCCUUCGCCGUCUCAGACGCGCUGCCGUUGCAGCUUUUGAGCCGCCGCCAUGGUGAUGCCUCCGUUUCGCUGUUGUGUUGAGCCGCCUGGGCCGCCUCUACUCAGUUAGCCGCUCCUAUUGCUGUUAUCUUCGUUGACGUGGAGAUUGUGAACGGAGAAACAAACAGAGAUAAGCUACAUGUACAAGUGCAGAAGCUACAUCCUGGAGCGUUGUGAGCAUUCACGUGAAAAGGAAAUGCAUGCAUGCAUAAUUAUUUUGAAGACCACGCUGCCGACUCAACCGGAGCACAAGUCCCGGCGAUUUGUGUUGGCAGUCUAAAAAGUAUUGCCGAGCACUACCACAACUCUGUGCAAGAAUUCUAUGUACAGAUCAUCAGUCAUUCGAAGACAUCAGGUGAUAUCCAUUUAAGUUUGUUUUAUUAGCAUAUAUUGUUUUUUGUCAGAAAAAACAGUUUAUUUUUGCCUUGGUCUGCAAUAUUGUUGAUGCAGGACAAUUGUUCACUACAUCAACACGACGUGGCUGACUUACCCAUCCGCGCGGCUUACAACACCUGCGAUUGACUCGCCCGUCCGCUCGGUUUACCGCGCCGGCGAUCGAUUCGCCCGUCCGGACCGGCUUACAACACCACGGCCGGCUCAUCUGUCUGUGCCGCCUCUGAUGCAACAGUCGUCUUUACCAUCCGUCUCUUGCGGGUUGGUCUAUAUAAACACAAUGGGCCGCACCUGUAUGCAUGAGCUGUUUAUUGAAUAUGAGCGAGUCACUGCUUGGGAAGCCCGGUUUUCUUCCAACAAAUUGGAGGCGAAUUAUCAUGUAUUAUUAGCCGCCAUCUCCACUGGAUGUUUCAAUGGGCAGGCGCACAAGUCGCCGCCACUACAGUUUGGUUAACUUCAAAACAUCCGGUUGGAAGGAACCAUUGGCCGAGUUGCUGACACGGCUCAUACGGGAUCAUUUAUAACCCGCCGCAGUCACUUCAACCUUCUGUGGAUUCACAUCGCGCUAUCAACACCAAUGAUAUACACCUUAUGCUAUGGUCAAUAUGGAGAAUCUCAAAGCCAACUCCUCGAGUCGUCUUGAGACUCGGGGGCUACAAUGAUAUGUCUCGGCAGCAUUGGUCUGUUUCAAUGCAUUCAAGAACUCCGGGUCAUUGGAGGGAAAAAUAAUCCGGUCCCGGAGGCUACCGCCAUAUUGGUGAAAUUUUAAAGGCCGUCAGAAAAAUUUCCAGCUUAAAAAGAAGGAUUCCGGUUUAGAUCCGGCUCAAGAGACUUGACAUCUCCCACAAAGCACUGAAGCUCUUAAAUAUCCGGUUUAAAAUCCGGUUCAAGGGAAAUUUAUCUGCCACAAAGUUUUGAAGCUCUCAAAUCCGGUUCAAAAUCCGGUUCAAGGUAAAUUUGUUUAUCACAAAACUUUGAAACUCUCAAUAUCCGGUUUAAGAAUUUCUGGUUCAAAAAGAAUUUAUCUCUCGCAAAGUUCGAAUUCUCAGGAAAAAUUAAAGGGACCAAAGAGAGUCGGUUACAAAGCACAACUCAAACAUAGGUACCCUGGUUUAGUGGCCAUUGGGAGCUGAUCGUAUUCGAAUUUAGCUUAACCCUUUUGGUGUGACCCUGAUCGUAUUCGAAUCUGAGUCGUUAAAUAUUCUCAUGAUCACUAGGGGGCUUCCUGUUCAAACAUAGGUCGUAUUCGAACCAAAGAGAACAUAGCUGUCGGUACCCUUUUGAUUGGCACACUGCCGAGCUCACUAGGGGGCUUCUUGAUCGUAUUCGAAUCGUAGCUCAACCCCUUUUGGGAACCGACGUGGAUCGUAUUCGAAUCAACGUUGUUAAACAAUUCUCAAGGUCAUUUGGGGGCUUCCUGUUCAAACAUAGGUCGUAUUCAAACCAAAGAGAACAUAGCUGUCGGUACCCUCUUGAUCGGCAACGCCAAAGCCACUGGGGGCUAUAUGAUCAUAUUCGAAUCUUAGCUUAACCCCCUUGGGACGGUUUUCUGAUCGUAUUCGAAUCAGAAGCCUCAAAAUUUUUGAAGUCUCUUUUUGCAAACAAUUUUUGGAUUUUAUUUGAAGCUCUUUUUCAUAUAUAAAGUGUAUAUGAGUGGUUGUAUUUAACCCGGCUUGAUUUUCGAUGAUAAAUCGCCAGCUUAUGACAAUCAUCAUCUAUGUGGAAGCAUUGGCUUCUAAGGAUUGGGUUAUCACCCUUACUUCACAGGUCACAUAAACCGGCAGUGAAAAUUCAAUAUCACAGGUAUAAUAUUAUUAUUAUAGUUAUGUUUCAAAGUUAUGAUUCAUAACAGGCUUAUCUGUGACUCCUUGUUACACAUCAAUGGUUAUAUGUGAGAUAUUAUGACCCGCCCUGCGGUAAACCACCAAGGGAUCUUGUGAUCUAAUUAUGUGCAGGAUAAGACUACAUUUGGGUGGUUACCCGCCCUGGUUUUUGACGUUAAGUCGCCAGGGCAUAUGUUGUUUAAACUCUGCAGGAUUUACAGAGCUAUGACUUACAUAAAUGAUUAAAUUCAAGCCCAUCAUCAUACAUUGAAAUUGGUGUCUCAAAAGGGUUAUCAAUUCUUGAUUUUCUCAAAGGCUAUAAGCCGCCGGGUUGUACAAAUUCCGGCUUACAAUGGAGGCGUAUUAAAUCGCCAUCGGCCAAGAGCCGCCGGGUAUAUAAACUCCAGAUUGACUUAUCAGCAGAUGAGGUAUUCAAAGUCGCUUUGGCGCAAUGGCUAUUAUUUUAUCAAUGGAUAUGAUUUAUUCUACAAUGGAAAGAAUAGUCCCGAGUCGCUGCAGGCUUACGACCCGGUACUUGGGGGCUACAUUAUUUGAAUUGAGAUCACAUCAAAUAUGCAAGUCCCAUGUGUUGGAAAUAUGCCCUAGAGGCAAUAAUAAAUGGUUAUUAUUAUAUUUCUUUGUUCAUGGUAAUUGUCUAUUGUUCAUGCUAUAAUUGUGUUAUCCGGAAAUCGUAAUGCAUGUGUGAAUACAUGGACCACAACGUGUCCCUAGUAAGCCUCUAGUUGACUAGCUCGUUGAUCAACAGAUAGUCAUGGUUUCCUGACUAUGGACAUUGGAUGUCAUUGAUAACGGGAUCACAUCAUUAGGAGAAUGAUGUGAUGGACAAGACCCAAUCCUAAGCAUAGCUCAAAGAUCGUGUAGUUCGUUUGCUAGAGCUUUUCCAAUGUCAAGUAUCUUCUCCUUAGACCAUGAGAUCGUGCAACUCCCGGAUACCGUAGGAGUACUUUGGGUGUGCCAAACAUCACAACGUAACUGGGUGACUAUAAAGGUACACUACGGGUAUCUCCGAAAGUGUCUGUUGGGUUGGCACGGAUCGGGACUAGGAUUUGUCCCUCCGUAUGACGGAGAGAUAUCUCUGGGCCCACUCGGUAAUGCAUCAUCAUAAUGAGCUCAAUGUGACUAAGGAGUUAGUCACGGGAUCAUGCAUUGCGGUACGAGUAAAGAGACUUGCCGGUAACGAGAUUGAACAAGGUAUUGGGAUACCGACGAUCGAAUCUCGGGCAAGUAACAUACCGAUUGACAAAGGGAAUUGUAUACGGGAUUGAUUGAAUCCUUGACAUCGUGGUUCAUCCGUGAGAUCAUCGUGGAACAUGUGGGAGCCAACAUGGGUAUCCAGAUCCCGCUGUUGGUUAUUGACCGGAGAGGCGUCUCGGUCAUGUCUGCAUGUCUCCCGAACCCGUAGGGUCUACACACUUAAGGUUCGGUGACGCUAGGGUUGUAGAGAUAUGAGUAUGCGGAAACCCGAAAGUUGUUCGGAGUCGCGGAUGAGAUCCCGGACGUCACGAGGAGUUCCGGAAUGGUUCGGAGGUGAAGAAUUAUAUAUAGGAAGUCAAGUUUCGGCCACCGGGAAAGUUUCGGGGGUCACCAGUAUUGUACCGGGACCACCGGAAGGGUCCCGGGGGUCCACCGGGUGGGGCCACCUAUCCCGGAGGGCCCCAUGGGCUGAAGUGGGAAGGGAACCAGCCCUUAGUGGGCUGGGGCGCCCCCCAUGGGCCUUCCCCCUGUGCCUAGGGUUGGAAACCCUAGGGUGGGGGGGCGCCCCACUUGCCUUGGGGGGCAAGUCUCCCCCUGGCCGCCGCCCCCCAUGCAGAUGGGUCUUGGCCGGCGCCCCUCCUCCCAGGGGGCCUAUAUAAAGGGGGGAGGGAGGGCAGCAGUGCUACAGCCUUUGGCGCCUCCCUCCUCCCCUGCAACACCUCUCCCUCUCGCAGAAGCUCGGCGAAGCCCUGCCGAGAUCCCGCUACAUCCACCACCACGCCGUCGUGCUGCUGGAUCUCCAUCAACCUCUCCUUCCCCCUUGCUGGAUCAAGAAGGAGGAGACGUCGCUGCUCCGUACGUGUGUUGAAUGCGGAGGUGCCGUCCGUUCGGCACUCGGUCAUCGGUGAUUUGGAUCACGACGAGUACGACUCCAUCAACCUCGUUCAUUGGAACGCUUCCGCUCGCGAUCUACAAGGGUAUGUAGAUGCACUCCUUUCCCCUCGUUGCUAGUAUACUCCAUAGAUGGAUCUUGGUGAGCGUCGGAAAAUUUUAAAAUUCUGCUACGAUCCCCAAUAGUGGCAUCAUGAGCCAGGCCUAUGCGUAGUUACUAUGCACGAGUAGAACACAAAGCAGUUGUGGGCGUAGAUGUUGCCAAUUCUUCUUGCCGCUACUAGUCUUAUCUUGUUUCGGCGGUAUUGUGGGAUGAAGCGGCCCGGACCGACCUUACACGUACGCUUACGUGAGACAGGUUCCACCGACUGACAUGCACUAGUUGCAUAAGGUGGCUAGCGGGUGUCUGUCUCUCCCACUUUAGUCGGAACGGAUUCGAUGAAAAGGGUCCUUAUGAAGGGUAAAUAGAAAUUGGCACAUCACGUUGUGGUUUUACGUAGGUAAGAAACGUUCUUGCUAGAAACCUAUUCAAGCCACGUAAAAAAAUUGCAACAACAAUUAGAGGACGUCUAACUUGUUUUUGCAGCAUGUGCUAUGUGAUGUGAUAUGGCUAGAAGAUGUGAUGAAUGAUAUAUGUGAUGUAUGAGAUUGAUCAUAUUCUUGUAAUAGGAAUCACGACUUGCAUGUCGAUGAGUAUGACAACCGGCAGGAGCCAUAGGAGUUGUCUAUUAUUUUGUAUGACCUGCGUGUCAUUGAAUAACGCCAUGUAAAUUACUUUACUUUAUUGCUAAACGUGUUAGCCGUAGAAGUAGAAGUAAUCGUUGGCGUGACAACUUCAUGAAGACACAAUGAUGGAGAUCAUGAUGAUGGAGAUCAUGGUGUCAUGCCGGUGACGAAGAUGAUCAUGGUGCCCCGAAGAUGGAGAUCAAAGGAGCAAAAUGAUAUUGGCCAUAUCAUGUCACUAUUUGAUUGCAUGUGAUGUUUAUCAUGUUUUGCAUCUUAUUUGCUUAGAACGACGGUAGUAAGUAUGAUGAUCCCUUAUAAUAAUUUCAAGAAAGUGUUCGCCCUAACUGUGCACCGUUGCGAAGGUUCGUUGUUUCGAAGCACCACGUGAUGAUCGGGUGUGAUAGAUUCUAACGUUCGCAUACAACGGGUGUUGACGAGCCUAGCAUGUACAGACAUGGCCUCGGAACACACGCAAUACACUUAGGUUGACUUGACGAGCCUAGCAUGUACAGACAUGGCCUUGGAACACGGAGGACCGAAAGGUCGAGCAUGAGUCGUAUAGAAGAUACGAUCAACAUGGAGAUGUUCACCGAUCUUGACUAGUCCGUCUCACGUGAUGAUCGGACACGGCCUAGUUAACUCGGAUCAUGUUUGACUUAGAUGACUAGAGGGAUGUCUAUCUGAGUGGGAGUUCAUUGAAUAAUUUGAUUAUAUGAACUUAAUUAUCAUGAACUUAGUCUAAAAUCUUUACAAUAUGUCUUGUAGAUCAAAUGGCCCACGUUGUCCUCAACUUCGAUGCGUUCCUAGAGAAAACCAAGCUGAAAGAUGAUGGCAGCAACUAUACGGACUGGGUCCGGAACCUGAGGAUCAUCCUCAUAGCAGCCAAGAAAGAUUAUGUCCUAGAAGCACCGCUAGGUGAAGCACCAAUCCCAGAGAACCAAGACGUUAUGAACGCUUGGCAAUCACGUGCUGAUGAUUACUCCCUCGUUCAGUGCGGCAUGCUUUACAGCUUAGAACCGGGGCUCCAAAAGCCUUUUGAGAAGCAUGGAGCAUAUGAGAUGUUCGAAGAGCUGAAAAUGGUUUUCCAAGCUCAUGCCCGGGUCGAGAGAUAUGAAGUCUCCGACAAGUUCUUCAGCUGUAAAAUGGAGGAGAAUAGUUCUGUUAGUGAGCACAUACUCAGAAUGUCUGGGUUACACAACCGCUUGUCCCAGCUGGGAGUUAAUCUCCCGGAUGACGCGGUCAUUGACAGAAUCCUUCAGUCGCUUCCACCAAGCUACAAGAGCUUUGUGAUGAACUUCAAUAUGCAGGGGAUGGAAAAGACCAUUCCUGAGGUAUAUUCGAUGCUGAAAUCAGCGGAGGUGGAGAUCAGAAAAGAACAUCAAGUGUUGAUGGUGAAUAAAACCACUAAGUUCAAGAAGGGCAAGGGUAAGAAGAACUUCAAGACGGACGGCAAGGGAGUUGCCGCGCCCGGUAAGCCAGUUGCCGGGAAGAAGUCAAAGAAUGGACCCAAGCCUGAGACUGAGUGCUUUUAUUGCAAGGGAAGUGGUCACUGGAAGCGGAACUGCCCCAAAUACUUAGCGGACAAGAAGGCCGGCAACACCAAAGGUAUAUGUGAUAUACAUGUAAUUGAUGUCUACCUUACCAGUACUCAUAGUAGCUCCUGGGUAUUUGAUACCGGUGCGGUUGCUCAUAUUUGUAACUCAAAACAGGAACUGCGGAAUAAACGGAGACUGGCAAAGGAUGAGGUGACGAUGCGCAUCGGGAAUGGUUCCAAGGUCGAUGUGAUCGCCGUCGGCACGCUACCUAUGCAUCUACCUACGGGAUUAGUUUUAAACCUCAAUAAUUGUUAUUUAGUGUCAGCUUUGAGCAUGAACAUUGUAUCUGGAUCUCGUUUAAUUCGAGAUGGCUACUCAUUUAAAUCCGAGAAUAAUGGUUGUUCUAUUUAUUUGAGAGAUAUGUUUUAUGGUCAUGCCCCGCUGGUCAAUGGUUUAUUCUUGAUGAAUCUUGAACGUGAUGUUACACAUAUUCAUAGUGUGAAUACCAAAAGAUGUAAAGUUGAUAACGAUAGUCCCACAUACUUGUGGCACUGCCGCCUUGGUCACAUUGGUGUCAAGCGCAUGAAGAAGCUCCAUGCAGAUGGACUUUUGGAGUCUCUUGAUUACGAAUCAUUUGACACGUGCGAACCAUGCCUCAUGGGUAAGAUGACCAAGACUCCGUUCUCCGGAACAAUGGAGCGAGCAACCAACUUAUUGGAAAUCAUACAUACCGAUGUGUGCGGUCCAAUGAGUGUUGAGGCUCGCGGAGGAUAUCGUUAUGUUCUCACUCUCACUGAUGAUUUAAGUAGAUAUGGGUAUGUCUACCUAAUGAAACACAAGUCUGAAACCUUUGAAAAGUUCAAGGAAUUUCAGAGUGAGGUUGAGAAUCAACGUGACAGAAAAAUAAAAUUCUUACGAUCAGAUCGUGGUGGAGAAUAUUUAAGUCACGAAUUUGGUGCGCACUUAAGGAAAUGUGGAAUCGUUUCACAACUCACGCCGCCUGGAACACCUUAGCGAAACGGUGUGUCCGAACGUCGUAAUCGCACUCUAUUGGAUAUGGUGCGAUCUAUGAUGUCUCUUACCGAUUUACCGCUCUCAUUUUGGGGCUAUGCUUUAGAGACUGCCGCAUUCACUUUAAAUAGGGCUCCGUCGAAAUCCGUUAAGACGACACCGUAUGAAUUAUGGUUUGGGAAGAAACCUAAGUUGUCAUUUCUAAAAGUUUGGGGAUGCGAUGCUUAUGUCAAGAAACUUCAACCUGAAAAGCUCGAACCCAAGUCGGAGAAAUGCGUCUUCAUAGGAUACCCUAAGGAAACUAUUGGGUAUACCUUCUACCUCAGAUCCGAAGGCAAGAUCUUCGUUGCCAAGAACGGGUCCUUUCUGGAGAAAGAGUUUCUCUCGAAGGAAGUAAGUGGGAGGAAAGUGGAACUUGAUGAGGUGAUAGUCACCCCUUCCGUACCGGAAAGUAGCGCAGCGCGGGAAGAUGUUCCUGUGGUGCCUACACCGACUGGGGAGGAAGUUAAUGAUGAUGAUCAUGAAGCUUCGGAUCAAGUUACUACUGAACUUCGUAGGUCCACAAGGACACGUUCCGCACCAGAGUGGUACGGCAACCCUGUCCUGGAAAUCAUGUUGUUAGACAAUGGUGAACCUUCGAACUAUGAAGAAGCGAUGGCGGGCCCGGAUUCCGACAAAUGGCUAGAAGCCAUGAAAUCCGAGAUAGGAUCCAUGUAUGAAAACGAAGUAUGGACUUUGACUGACUUGCCCGAUGAUCGGCGAGCCAUAGAAAACAAAUGGAUCUUUAAGAAGAAGACAGACGCGGAUGGUAAUGUGACCAUCUAUAAGGCUCGACUUGUCGCUAAGGGUUAUCGAGAAGUUCAAGGGGUUGACUACAAUGAGACUUUCUCACCCGUAGCGAAGCUGAUGUCCGUCCGAAUCAUGUUAGCAAUUGCCGCAUACUAUGAUUAUGAGAUAUGGCAGAUGGACGUCAAAACGGCAUUCCUUAAUGGCUUCCUUAAGGAAGAAUUGUAUAUGAUGCAGCCGGAAGGUUUUGUCGAUCCUAAGAAUGCUAACAAAGUAUGCAAGCUCCAGCGCUCAAUCUAUGGGCUGGUGCAAGCAUCUCGGAGUUGGAACAUUCGCUUUGAUGAGAUGAUCAAAGCGUUUGGGUUUACACAGACUUAUGGAGAAGCCUGUGUUUACAAGAAAGUGAGUGGGAGCUCUGUAGCAUUUCUCAUAUUAUAUGUGGAUGACAUACUAUUGAUGGGAAAUGAUAUAGAAUUCUUGGAAAGUAUAAAGGCCUAUUUGAAUAAGUGUUUUUCAAUGAAGGACCUUGGAGAAGCUGCUUAUAUAUUAGGCAUCAAGAUCUAUAGAGAUAGAUCAAGACGCCUCAUUGGUCUUUCACAGAGUACAUACCUUGACAAGNNNNNNNNNNUUGACAAGAUAUUGAAGAAGUUCAAUAUGGAUCAGUCCAAGAAGGGGUUCUUGCCUGUAUUGCAAGGUGUGCAAUUGAGCACGGCUCAAUGCCCGACCAUGGCAGAAGAUAGAGAAAAGAUGAGUGUCAUCCCCUAUGCCUCGGCCAUAGGGUCUAUUAUGUAUGCCAUGCUGUGUACCAGACCUGAUGUAAACCUUGCCGUAAGUUUGGUAGGAAGGUACCAAAGUAAUCCCGGCAUGGAACACUGGACAGCGGUCAAGAAUAUCCUGAAGUACCUGAAGAGGACUAAGGAUAUGUUUCUCGUUUAUGGAGGUGACGAAGAGCUCGUCGUAAAGGGUUACGUCGACGCUAGCUUCGACACAGAUCUGGAUGACUCGAAGUCACAAACCGGAUACGUGUAUAUUUUGAAUGGAGGAGCAGUAAGCUGGUGCAGUUGCAAGCAAAGCGUCGUGGCGGGAUCUACAUGUGAAGCGGAGUACAUGGCAGCCUCGGAGGCAGCACAGGAAGCAUCUGGAUGAAGGAGUUCAUUACCGAUCUAGGGGUGAUUCCCAAUGCGUCGGGCCCGAUGACUCUCUUCUGUGACAACACUGGAGCUAUUGCCCUUGCCAAGGAGCCCAGGUUUCACAGGAAGACCAGGCAUAUCAAGCGUCGCUUCAACUCCAUUCGUGAAAGUGUUCAAAAUGGAGACAUAGAUAUUUGUAAAGUACAUACGGACCUGAAUGUAGCAGAUCCGUUCACUAAACCUCUCCCUAGAGCAAAACAUGAUCAACACCAGGACGCAAUGGGUGUUCGAUUCAUCACAAUGUAACUAGAUUAUUGACUCUAGUGCAAGUGGGAGACUGUUGGAAAUAUGCCCUAGAGGCAAUAAUAAAUGGUUAUUAUUAUAUUUCUUUGUUCAUGGUAAUCGCCUAUUGUUCAUGCUAUAAUUGUGUUAUCCGGAAAUCGUAAUGCAUGUGUGAAUACAUAGACCACAACGUGUCCCUAGUAAGCCUCUAGUUGACUAGCUCGUUGAUCAACAGAUAGUCAUGGUUUCCUGACUAUGGACAUUGGAUGUCAUUGAUAACGGGAUCACAUCAUUAGGAGAAUGAUGUGAUGGACAAGACCCAAUCCUAAGCAUAGCUCAAAGAUCGUGUAGUUCGUUUGCUAGAGCUUUUCCAAUGUCAAGUAUCUUCUCCUUAGACCAUGAGAUCGUGCAACUCCCGAAUACCGUAGGAGUACUUUGGGUGUGCCAAACGUCACAACGUAACUGGGUGACUAUAAAGGUACACUACGGGUAUCUCCGAAAGUGUCUGUUGGGUUGGCACGGAUCGAGACUGGGAUUUGUCACUCCGUAUGACGGAGAGGUAUCUCUGGGCCCACUCGGUAAUGCUUCAUCAUAAUGAGCUCAAUGUGACUAAGGAGUUAGUCACGGUGUCGUGGAAUUGUCACGGCAGAUGUCCUCAAGCUAGGACUUAGUCGUGGAGCCAUCGCCGCUAGGAAGCUUGAAGGGGUUAACGGGACAAGGAACACGAGGGUUUAUACUGGUUCGGCCCCUUACGGUGAAGGUAAAAGCCUACGUCCAGUUGAGGUGGUAUUGAUUAGGGUUUCGAUGACCAGGGAGCUUAACUGCUAUGCCCGGCUCUCGAUGAGAUCUUUCUUGCCCCUAAACCGCUGCCGGGUCGUCCCUUUAUAUAGGGAGGCUGACGCCCAGCAGCUCUCAGAGUCCCGACCGGCUCAUAAGAGUGUCCGGCUCGGACUCUCAACUACUCUUGCCUUACACUACAAGUUCUACCAUAAUGAUGAUUGUAACUACGGGUCUUAAGCCAAAUCCGGGUCUUAAGCCCAUCUUUGGCCCACCUUCUUCAAGCUUGGCGCCGGGCUUCUGGCGAUGACCAUUAUGAGUAACCCGGCCCCUCCUGGCGGGUGACUCUAAGGUCUAUAUCCUCAACAUUAGGCCCCAGAUUGAUUUGAGCCGGCUCAUGUAAAUCUUCAAUUCUUUCGACAGAAAAUAUCCGGCUUACAAUUGUGUGAAGGCCAUAACCCAGCGUGACGUCAUCCUCUGGACUCCGGGUAAUCCGCCGUGACGUCAUCUUCCAUUAAGUCCAUUUUUUACUCCACCAGAUCCGCAACGGAUCUUAUCUUUACUGCCAUCCCGAAAAUCGAGGCGCCUCUCGGGCGAGAUAACCCCGUCGUGGCCUCCUCGUUUCUCGCGCCCACUUAUGAGACUGGCCUUAUAAAUAGCCCGACCCUCGGGUCUUUCCAUUCUCCCCCUUCUGUCAUCCUCUUCCUCUCGCUACUCUCGCGCUGCUCGAGCUCCGCCGCCGCCGCCGCCGCAACAGAGCUCUGCGUCCUCGUCGACCUUGGCCGCUGCAUCACCCUGAUCCGUCCAGAGAAACGCGGCGAACCCUCGCAGCACACCUGCCUCCGUAAGUUCCUUCCUCCUCGUAGAACAUAUCUACGUUUAAGCUCCUGCUGUUCUUCCGUGUUCUUUGCCGUCGCCCACGAGUUCUUGGUAGUUUUUAUUUUUACUACCCUUUUUUGAUCUUAGCCUUGUAUAGAACCACUGCGGUAGCUGUUUAGCACCCAUUUCAUAUGCAAGUAAACCUCUUUUUACUGCAUAAAGGCUCCGUUCGAGCCCAAGAAUUUCCCUUGCGUCUGUUUUUAGGUCUAGAAACUUUCCUUUUAGCCGACCGUUUUGAUCCAAAUUAUUUACUGCAAUGUGUGAAACCUGUUUUCACCACACUUAGUAAAAAACUGCACCUGUUGAGUCCUGGCGGUUUACAUUUCCGGUUUAAAGAAACCACGCACCGUAGAACCUUCCGGCUCAAAGGAAACCACGCGCCGUAAAAUUUCUGGCUCACUUUCAACAAGGCUGUAGACAAUUUGAAUUACUCUCAAGCACACCAGCGGCUUAGAUAACCCGAUGCACUUAGAUAUAUGUCAUUAGGCCCCUCCAUAAGCCGCCACUUGAAAUAUUGAACUGUAAUUUUCCUCCGGCUUACAAUUAAACCGGAGAUAUUUCCCUUUUAUCAUAGGCUUCCGACUUUCACCAAGCCUCCCAAAGCUGCCAAAGCACCCAUCACUUGCAAUUGGAUGAGGUCCAACGUCACCGACGAGACCUUAGCAGACUUUGUGAAGUCGGGUUACCUACCCAAGAAGGACGUCAUGUCCUACCGUGCCCCUGACCCGUCAGAGGAGAGACCACAGCCAAAGGACGGGGAGGUAGUGAUUUUUGCGGAUCACAUGAGCCGGGGCUUCGCACCGCCCGGCUCAAAGUUCUUCACGGAUGUACUAAAUUUCUUUGACAUGCGGCCACAAGAUAUAGGACCCAACUCGGUGUCCAACAUAUGCAAUUUCCAAGUGUUCUGCGAGGUUUAUCUUGGAGAAGAGCCCAGCCUGCUGCUCUUCAGAGAGCUCUUCUACCUGAACCGCCAGAACGAGUGCGCCAACGGGCCAAGUUUGGAACUUGGCGGAAUCUCCAUUCAGCGACGGAGAGACUGCCUCUUCCCUGACGCCGAGCCGCCGAGUCACCCAAAUGACUGGAACCAGACGUGGUUCUACUGCCAAGACAUGUCGCCGGCUGACGAGAGCCCGCUGCCCGGCUUUCGCCCCUCGCGUCUGGAACCAACACACCCUUUGUCAGACAAGCUAACUCAAGCGGAGCGCCAACCUCUGCUCCCCACCAUUAACAAGAUCAAGGCUCUCCUGGGCAAUGGUCUCAAUGCAAUUGACCUGGUCCGAGUCUGGAUCUCCUGGCGGGUGAUCCCGUUGAGCCGCCGCCCCGGCUUAAUGUGUGAGUACACGGGCCGAAAGGAUGACCCCCUGAGACACAGCCGCAACGAUCUUCCUGAAGACGUUGCUGAGGACAUGACCAAGGCUCUCUUGAACGAGAGCUUGGCAGACUGCGGGAGGACCGGCUUAAGCCCCUUCUGCAAGACCAACCCGGCCCCAGUGGUAAGCCGCUGAUCUGAACAUCUUAUUCUCUUCUGUAGAUAACUUUCAUCUGAUCCUUAAGAAAUCGUCAUUGUAUUUUUCAGGUUGAUGACAAAUUCUGGAAGGUCAAAUACGACCAUGAGGCGGCCAAGAAGGCCAGGAAAGCGAAGAAAGCCGCCAAGAGAGCCGCUCCCCGCAAGAAGGGAAGUAGCCCUACUGCUUCAGAGCUGAUGCAACUAAGCGACAACUCCGAGUCAGAGGUAACCCCUGAACCUGUAAGCUCUUGUUGUAUGUCUUGUUUAUUUCUGUCCACCUUAUCAAUACCGUUCAUCAACAGGAUGACACCGGAGCAAGUAACCCGGUGGUUGAAGAGGUAAUGACACUUUCCUCUGACUCAGAGCCCUUGCCAAGGCUGAAAGUCCGAAGGGUAACCCGGAAAGUAAGAUUUUCACAUCCUUUAGCUUAUUGCGAUCCUCAAUUUCUUUUGAAGCAACAGAUUCAUGAGAACCGGCGGCACACCCGGACCAACAAGGAUGCUGACCUAUCCUCCAGCUUACCUGAGGCAUCAAGGAAGCGCCGGACCGAGGUUAUUUCCACCUUAUAUCCUUUUCAUCCUCUGGCGGGUGUUAUACGUGAACCUCUCAAUUCUUCUAAUUCAAAUUAUCAGGAAACGUCUCCUUCCUCUGGUGAUUCGAUGCAGUCAAAUCUGCCGGCCUUCAAAACCGUACCCGGGUAAUGAUGAUCAUCUCUUAUUGUGCUUAUCUUUACUCAUACCUUUGUACUAACCUUUUUGUCCUUUCAGUGCCUAGGCAAAGCUCACCAAGAGGGCGAAGAAGAACAAGCCGGUCGAAGAGCCGGACUUGCCUGAACCGGAGGUAGCAGCUCAAGAACCGCCAGUUGCCUCCGCUCCCGAAGCCACCGCUCCAACGAAGGCAACUGCAGAAGCUUCUGCUAACCCGGAGACCUCCAGCUCGGCUCAGCCGGUCAAUGACCCGGACGUGGUAAUCACCCGGACGGAGUUUGUUGAGCCGGGGAGACCUACUGCACUGGCCAAGUGCUCCGCCAAGGAGGAGUUGCUACAGCACCGCCGGGUUAAUCUGGACCUCACCGACUACACCAAUCUGAACAUCGGGGAGAUCGUCUCCGGCUAUGUCAGCCAAGUGCACAAGAGCCGGGAUAUAGAGAUCGGCAUGGUGAACCAGAUUCAGCAGAAAUCUGAGGUACUACUGUUCUUUCUUCUUACUUACUGCAUAGUUAUCUUGUUAUUCUUACCAUACUCUAGCCCCCAAGUCUACGACUUAUGAUAGAAUAUGUUGUAGACUUGAGUUCCGGCUUACUCGCUUGAACCAGCAAUUUGUAAAUAGAAACGUUCGAUAUGCAUUAGCCCCCAAGUGCCAAGUGUCUUUGCUUGGAAAGUGCUUGGGACUUUAAAAUUGCAUAAUAACUGUUCAUCCUAUAACCCGGAAAUUAUGCAGGCUGCUUGCAGGAAGCUUGAAGCUGACAUCUCCGAUCUGAAGACCCGCCUAAAGACGCAAGAAACUGAGACCCGGAAGGCCAAUGCCAAAUUUGUGUCCAGUAUUGCUGCGCAAGAAAAGCUGAAGACGGACUUUGACGCUGAACGGAAAGCCUGGGCCGAAGAGAAGGCUACGCUGGUGAACCGGACCGAACAGGCAGAGAAGGCUCUGUCAGAGAAGACCGCCGAACUCUCCGGCUUAAAGCGCCAAGUGUCCCAGAUGGUUGCCGCAAUCUUCGGUAAGUCAUUUCACCGGCUUUCAUCAAGUUUUAUAAUCUUUAUAUCUCAUAACUUAUCCUUGUCGGCGGCUUAUCUUAUUUUGUUAAACAGGUCCCAGAAGUGCCAACCUCAACCAAAGUGUGGUAACCAAGUUGAAGGCCGUGUACACCCUGGUGGAGCAGCUCUACACCGGGUCACAGCGUGCUUUGGCUGUGGUGGCCCUAUCCAAUGAGGUGCCGACUCAUCUGGCGGAAGUUCUUCGCCGGCUUGCCGUUCUUCCCCAACGUGUCCAAGAGCUGCGGCGGGCCUCUGCAAGAGCCGGAGCUAUCGCCGCUCUGAGCCGGGCCAAGGCGUUCCUUCCAGAGUUAGACCCGGCGGACAUUGCCCUCGGCUAUCCCAGUUUGAAGGAAGACGGCACACCCUUCGACCAAAGGGACUUUGCAGCCUGCGUGAAGAUCGUGCGCCAAGUGGCCACCCUCAUUGGAAACGACACAGAUCUGACCAAGUACCAGCCCGGUUACAAUGCAGAAAAUCAGAGGAUCCCCACUCCGCGUUAUGAAGCUGUCAGCUUAGUCCCGCCAGCUCGUAAGCACACCUUCGCCCCGGAGAUUGACCCGGCCGGGUUAAUUGAUGAGGAAGCUCAAUUUGAAGCUCUGAGCGGCAUUGAUUGGAAGUCGUCAACUUUCCAGGUCUUGGGAACAGCCGGAGGAGAGGAGAGGGAUGAGCCGGAGACUUCAACCCAGCAAGCAUCGUAACUCUGCCGGCGGCUUAUUAAACAAUGCUUCACCCUUUUGGACUCGAUGAGUCUUGUAAUAGAAUAGGAUCAACACUUUAACUUUGACGUGCCAUCGUGCACGCGUUGAAUGCUGAAGUCCAUUGAAGUUGUCUCCUUUAUAUUUCCCCGGGUCAUAAUCGAUUAUUCAUUUUCCUUAAUCUCAAAUAGUUGCCUUGAACUAUCCUGCAUAGAAGGACAAAUCACAAGUCUCUAGGCAGCUUACCGCACUGAGAAUCAUAGUUUUAGACAUAUAACCCGGAAUAUGAAUCAAAAGAGACUGGUCCUCAAUUAUGUCCUUGAUAUAGCCGUAAUAACACACUUACCGGCCUGCAAGCACACUUCCGGCUUAUAUAACCCGGGUAAUAAGGUUGGUACCUCAAUUCCGGUUUACCAGUCUUAAUAACACCGAUUGUAUUCAACUAGUACUAUAAAUCAAAGUUAAGCCGGCAAAGUGAGACCCGCCGUGCACACUUGAAAUAAUCAGAAGAACCCGCUAUAAAUCAGAAGAACUUAGGGGCUUCCGGUUCGAAUACGACCAGAGACCCGUCCCAAAGGGGUUAUGCUAGAAUUCGAAUGCAAUCAUAUAGCCCCCAGUGGGUGUGGCGAUGCCAAUCAAGAGGGUAUCGACAGCUAUGUUCUCUUUGGUUCGAAUACGACCCAUGUUUGAACAGGAAGCCCCCAAAUGACUUUAAGAAUUGUUUAACGACGCUGAUUCGAAUACGAUCCACGUCGGUUCUCAAAGAGGUUAAACUAUGAUUCAAAUAUGAUCAAAGAAAACUCCCCAAUGAGCUCGGCACUUUGCCAAUCAAAUGGGUAUCAACAGCUAUGUUCUCUUUGGUUCGAAUAUGACCUAUGUUUGAACAGGAAGCCCCCAAGUGACCUUAUUGCCUACGGCUAGAUUCAAAUACGAUCAUAAGCUGGAUCCUCCUUCAAGUUAUCAUGUGAUCUUGCAAUGAAAACAACACGUGCACAUUUGGAGGAGAAAAAAGGACAGAGGUCCUGCUUUAUUGCUUAUCAUAAUAUAUACAUGGCUUAGAGAAAUAUGUACAUUAUGAGAGCCGGCGGCUCAAGUGUAGUAAGGCCGAAGCUGAGCUAUAUUCCACGGCCGACGGGUCUCUUCCUCCGACUUACGUGAAUCUUUGUGCUCCCGAAUGUCAAUGAGGUAAUAUGACCCGUUGUGCAAAUUCUUGCUGACCACGAAGGGCCCUUCCCAAGGCGGGGAUAGCUUGUGCGCAUCUGUUUGAUCUUGGAUGAGCCGGAGCACCAGAUCGCCUUCCUGAAAGACCCGGGAUUUAACCCGGCGACUAUGAUAACGGCGCAGGUCUUGUUGGUAAAUCGCUGAGCGAGCUGCUGCCACAUCACGCUGUUCGUCCAACAAGUCAAGAGCGUCUUGGCGCGCCUGUUCAUUAUCCGCCUCAACAUAAGCCGCCACUCGAGGCGAAUCAUGACGGAUGUCACUUGGGAGAACUGCUUCUGCCCCAUAAACCAUGAAGAAAGGCGUGAAACCUGUAGACCUGUUAGGAGUAGUGUUGAUGCUCCAUAACACGGAGGGCAACUCCUCCACCCAACAACCCGGCGUCCGUUGCAAAGGGACCAAAAGCCGGGGCUUGAUACCCUUCAAGAUCUCCUGAUUAGCCCUCUCAGCUUGACCAUUGGAUUGAGGAUGAGCCACUGAUGAAACAUCAAGUCGGAUAUGCUCUCGUUGACAAAACUCCUCCAUGGCGCCUUUGGAUAGAUUGGUACCAUUGUCAGUUAUAAUGCUGUGCGGAAAACCAAAGCGAAAAAUCACCUUUUUCAUAAAUUGAACCGCCGUGGCUGCAUCACACUUGCUAACUGGUUCGGCUUCAACCCACUUUGUAAAUUUGUCAACUGCCACCAAGAGGUGGGUCUUCUUAUCCUUGGACCUUUUAAAAGGCCCAACCGUAUCAAGCCCCCAGACCGCAAAGGGCCAAGUAAUUGGGAUCAUCCUCAGCUCCUGAGCCGACACAUGAGCCCGUCGCGAGAACCUUUGGCAACCAUCACAUUUACUGACCAAGUCCUCCGCAUCAGCAUGAGCCGUCAGCCAAUAAAAACCGUGACGAAAAGCCUUGGCCACAAGAGACUUUGAGCCGGCGUGAUGGCCACAAUCCCCUUCAUGAAUUUCAUGCAAGAUGUCUUGACCUUCCUCAGGGGAGACACAUCGCUGGAACGCUCCCGUAACACUGCGGCGAUGCAACUCACCAUUGAUAACAACCAUUGACUUAGACCGCCGGGUUAUUUGCCUGGCCAAAGUUUCGUCCUCAGGCAAAUAUCCCCGGGUCGUGUAAGCCAGAUAGGGCACUGUCCAGUCCGGGAUGAUGUGGAGAGCCGCCACCAGUCGUGCCUCCGGGUCAGGGACAGCCAAGUCUUCCUCUGUGGGCAACUUAACAGAAGGGUUAUGCAGGAAGUCCAGGAAAGUAUUAGGCGGCACCGGUUUUCGUUGAGAGCCCAGCCAGCUUAAAGCAUCAGCCGCCUCGUUCUUCCUGCGAUCGAUGUGCUCUACUUGGUAACCCUAAAAGUGCCCAGCAAUGGCAUCAACUUCGCGGCGAUAAGCCGCCAUGAGAGGGUCCUUGGAGUCCCACUUUCCUGAUACUUGUUGAGCCACCAAGUCUGAGUCACCGAAGCACCUUACCCAGCUCAAGCUCAUCUCCUUGGCCACUUUCCUGAGCAAGGCCUCGUACUCCGCUGCAUUGUUGGUGCAAGGAAACAUCAAUUGUAGCACAUAAUGGAACUUAUCACCUUUAGGGGAAGCCAAUACGACUCCAGCCCCCGAGCCCUCCAAUUGCCUGGACCCAUCGAAGUAAACAGUCCAAUAUGUGUUAUCCGGCUUUUGUUCGGGCACUUGUAGCUCUGUCCAAUCAUUGAUGAAAUCCACCAAGGCCUGAGAUUUAACAGCAGUGCGUGGCACGUAUUUCAGACUAUGAGGUCCGAGCUCUAUAGCCCACUUAGCCACUCUCCCUGUGGCCUCUCUGUUCUGAAUGAUAUCUCCAAGGGGGGCAGAACUGACCACAGUGAUGGGGUGACCCUGGAAAUAAUGCUUAAGCUUCCGGCUUGCCAUGAACACACCGUAAACAAGCUUCUGCCAAUGCGGAUACCGCUGCUUGGACUCAAUGAGUACUUCACUGACAUAAUAAACCGGCCGCUGAACCGGAUGCUCCUUACCCUCUUCCUUGCGCUCCACCACCACGGCCACACUGACGACUCGUGUGUUAGCAGCCACAUACAGCAAUAAAGGCUCCUUGUCAACCGGAGCAGCAAGGAUUGGGGGCUCGGCCAGCUGUCUCUUCAAAUCCUCAAAAGUCGUACUGGCUGCAUCAUUCCAGACAAAGUCAUCAGUUUUCUUCAUCAACUGAUAUAAUGGCAUAGCCUUCUCCCCCAAACGGCUUAUAAAACGGCUUAAAGCAGCAAUGCGACCCGCCAGGCGCUGGACGUCGUUUAUACACGCCGGCUUAGCCAGGGAGGUGAUGGCCUUGAUCUUCUCCGGGUUAGCUUCAAUGCCUCUGUCAGAAACCAAGAAACCCAAGAGUUUGCCUGCAGGAACACCAAAAACACACUUGGCCGGGUUAAGCAUCAUCUUGUAGACCCGGAGAUUAUCAAAGGUUUCCCUCAGAUCAUCUAUCAGGGUUUCCUCCUUCCUGGAUUUAACCACAAUAUCAUCCACAUAAGCAUGAACAUUGCGCCCAAUCUGGUUAUGAAGACAGUUCUGCACGCAACGCUGAUAAGUUGCCUGUGCACUCUUGAGUCCAAAGGGCAUGGACACAUAGCAGAAGGCUCCAAAGGGAGUGAUGAACGCUGUCUUCUCCUGGUCCUUAACUACCAUUUUAAUCUGAUGAUAUCCGGAAUAAGCAUCCAAGAAACUUAAGCGCGCACAACCUGCCGUAGCAUCAAUAAUUUGAUCAAUACGGGGAAGGGCAAAAGGAUCAGCCGGACACGCCUCGUUUAAGUCCGUGUAGUCCACACACAUCCGCCAAGUGCCGUUCUUCUUGAGCACGAGCACCGGGUUAGCUAACCACUCUGGGUGAAAGACUUCAACAAUAAACCUGGCCACUAAGAGCCGGGCCACCUCUUCACCAAUAGCUUUCCGCAUCUCUUCAUUAAACCGUCGAAGGAAUUGCCUGACCGGCUGAAAUUUCGGAUCAACAUUGAGAGUGUGCUCAGCGAGUUCUCUAGGUACACCUGGCAUGUCAGAAGGUUUCCAUGCAAAAAUGUCCCUAUUCUCACGGAUGAACUCGAUGAGCGCGCUUUCCUAUUUUGGAUCCAGAUUGGCACUGAUGCUAAACUGCUGAGAUGAGUCACCUGGAACGAAAUCAACAAGUUUAGUCUCAUCAGCCGACUUAAAUUUCAUUGUCGGCUCAUGCUCCGUAGUUGGCUUUUUCAGAGAGGUCAUAUCUGUUGGGUCAACGUUGUCUUUGUAAAACUUCAACUCCUCUGUUGCGCAAACAGAUUCUGCAUAAGCUGCAUCGCCUUCCUCACACUCCAGGGCCACCUUCCGGCUGCCGUGAACCGUAAUGGUCCCAUUAUGACCCGGCAUCUUGAGCUGUAAAUACACGUAACACGGCCGUGCCAUGAACUUGGCGUAAGCCGGCCGCCCGAAUAUGGCAUGGUACGGACUUCUUAUCUUGACCACCUCAAAGGUCAAUUUUUCCACCCUGUAGUUGUGCUCAUCUCCAAAGGCCACUUCCAACUCGAUCUUGCCGACUGGAUAAGCCGACUUACCAGGUACUACACCAUGGAAAAUAGUGUUUGAUUGGCUGAGGUUCUUAUCAAUCAACCCCAUACGACGGAACGUCUCAUAAUAGAGGAUGUUGAUGCUGCUGCCUCCAUCCAUGAGCACCUUAGUGAACUUAUAUCCUCCCACCUGAGGAGCCACCACCAAGGCCAAGUGACCCGGAUUAUCCACCCGGGGAGGGUGAUCCUCCCUACUCCACACUAUAGGCUGCUCAGACCACCGCAAGUAGCAUGGAACCGCCGGCUCAACAGCAUUCACAGCCCUCUUAUGAAGCUUCUGAUCUCGCUUACACAGACUGGUGGUAAACACAUGAUACUGUCCACCGCUAAGCUGCUUUGGAUUGGUCUGAUAACCCCCCUGCUACUAUUGAUGACCCUGGCCAGGCUGCUGAUUAAAGCUCCCUUGACCGUUCUGAGGAUUAGAAUUUGAACCGCCGCCCGGGCCAUGAAAGCCGCCAGCGCCUGAGCCACCGCCCGGGCCAUUGUUGCCAUUAAAGGCGUUGGAAUUCUUAAAGGCCUUCAUGAUUGCACAAUCCUUCCAUAAAUGAGUAGCUGGCUUCUCUCUAGAGCCAUGCCUUGGACAAGGCUCAUUCAACAGUUGCUCCAGCGUCGGGCCUGACCCGCCGGCUCGGGGAGGGGGCCUCCCCUUGCGUCGCUGGUUAGUACCUUGUGAGCUGGCGUUGGCUACAAACUCUAGGCUGACGUCGGCCUUGCGCUUGCCACCUCCUUGGUUCCCAGGGUUAUGCUGAGGACCCUUGCCAUUGCCGUUCCUCUUUCCCUUCCCUGUCCUUUCAUCAUCUGAAGCGGGGUCCUUGGUACCAUCAGAAUCGGCGUACUUGACGAGAGCCGCCAUCAGUGUACCCAUAUCAUUGCAGUCGCGCUUAAGCCGCCCGAGUUUCAUCUUCAGGGGCACGAAAUGACAAUUCUGCUCCAACAUUAAAACUGCAGAGCCGGCAUCCAUCUUAUCAGAUGAAUGUAUUAUCUCCUUAACCCGGCGAACCCAAUGUGUCGUAGACUCACCCUCCUGCUGCUUACAGUUAGUCAAAUCCACAAUUGACAUAGACUGCCUAUAGGUAUCCUUGAAGUUUUGGAUGAACCGGGCUUUCAGCUCAGCCCAAGACCCGAUGGAAUUCGGUGGUAGCCCCUUCAACCAAGUGCGGGCAGACCCAUCUAACAUCAUGGUGAAGUACUUGGCCAUUGCCGCUUCACUGACUUCCAGCAGUUCCAUGGCCAUCUCGUAACUCUCGAUCCAGGCUGCGGGUUGUAAGUCAGCCGUGUAAUUAGGCACCUUCCUAGGGCCUUUGAAGUCCUUGGGUAGACGUUCAUUGCGGAGAGCUGGCACUAAACAAGGGACACCUCCAGUCCUGGUAGGGAUACCCACGUCGAGGGAAGUCGUCGGAUAAGCCGGGGGAGUCUGGUAAGCCGUCAACUGAGGCACCUGCUCCGUCUCUUGCCGCGCUCUGUCUUGGUCUGCUGCGUGAAAGGCUCCGUUAUGAACCGGGCCAUGGCCAGGGGGCGGGUCAUGGCGUCGGACAUUACUUGAGCCGGUCGCUGAGACCAUGUGUCUGCUCUAACUCGGGCUCCGGCCUGGAUGAAGGGUCGAGUGGAUCCUGUCCCGGCUGUAGGAGUACGCCUCUUGCUGCGCCAGUGCUGUCUGAAGGAGUUCCCUGACCCGGCGGGUUUCAAUAGCCAUCGGAGAGUCGCCGUCAAUUGGGAGGGCUGCCAGCCGCGCUACUGCGGCUACCAUGUUCUCCAGCGGGUUAGCAUAAUGACCAGGUGGUAUUGGCACAUACUGAGGCGGGGCAGGGUUCACCCGGGGAGGCCCCAUUACUUGUGGCUGAACAGGGGUCCCAGACCCGGGCACUAUGAUCCCUGGCGGGUUACUGGACCCUGCACCUGGCGUGUUGAAGAGGUUUCGAGGAUCGUAAACCAGAGGGAGUUGAGACUGGGCCUUCUGAUGCCUCCUUCUCAUGACCUCAUUGGACGCGUUCUGAUCCAUCGUGAGCUAGAAGGACUGCGCCUGAAUCAACUGAGUCUGGGCGUCGAGAGCCGCCCUCUCCGCAGCCAUCCUGAUCCCUUCCGCUGCCAGAUCCUCCUUGGCUUUCACUAGAUCUAACUUUAACUGCGCCACCUCCGCGUCGUGCUGAGCUUGAUCCGCCGGGUCAACCGCGGCGGUCAACAGAGCCGUUAUCUUGUCCGUGAGAUCCAUCAGCACCUGAGCCGGCGAGGGCACCGGAUUUCCCGCCCCAGCAGCAGGGUUCUGAACAGGCUGCGCACCGGCCAUGAAGAUUCCAACCCGGCUCGGCGGCUCAAACGGGUCCGGAAUACUGUCACCAUCGGAACAACCCAUGAGCCUGCCAUCUUGAAGUUGAUACAACGAGUUGGACUCAUCUGUGGACGACUCGCCGUCAGAGCCGGCGGCCGUCUCAUCACCAGAUCCAGAUCCAUCAGAGAGCCCUGCAUGAAUACAUCCCACAAAAGCAUGCUUCAAGGCAGGCAGGGCCCGGGCGGGUCGUGCGCGCUGAGCCGUCUCGACCGGCGCAGAGAUCCGGCGCCGGGCCCAGCUCACCAAUCUUGCCAAUGAAAACAUAAAUUCCGCCGAAGGGGACCCGGUAUCCGUACUCUAUUGAGCCGGCGUCGGGGCCCCAGUUUGCAUCAUCGAUGUAGAGCUUGCCGCGACGACUCUUGGUCAUCCGGCCCACAGCGUAUCUCUUGAGCCCUUCGAAGCUGCCCUUCAAGAACUCAAAUCCAUCGUGCGCUGGCCCCACGGUGGGCGCCAACUGUCGUGGAAUUGUCACGGCAGAUGUCCUCAAGCUAGGACUUAGUCGUGGAGCCAUCGCCGCUAGGAAGCUUGAAGGGGUUAACGGGACAAGGAACACGAGGGUUUAUACUGGUUCGGCCCCUUACGGUGAAGGUAAAAGCCUACGUCCAGUUGAGGUGGUAUUGAUUAGGGUUUCGAUGACCAGGGAGCUUAACUGCUAUGCCCGGCUCUCGAUGAGAUCUUUCUUGCCCCUAAACCGCUGCCGGGUCGUCCCUUUAUAUAGGGAGGCUGACGCCCAGCAGCUCUCAGAGUCCCGGCCGGCUCAUAAGAAUGUCCGGCUCGGACUCUCAACUAUUCUUGCCUUACACUACAAGUUCUACCAUAAUGAUGAUUGUAACUACGGGCCUUAAGCCAUAUCCGGGUCUUAAGCCCAUCUUUGGCCCACCGUCUUCAAGCUUGGCGCCGGGCUUCUCGCGAUGACCAUUAUGAGUAACCCGGCCCCUCCUGGUGGGUGACUCUAAGGUCUAUAUCCUCAACACACGGGAUCAUGCAUUGCGGUACGAGUAAAGAGACUUGCCGAUAACGAGAUUGAACAAGGUAUUGGGAUACCGACGAUCGAAUCUCGGGCAAGUAACAUACCGAUUGACAAAGGGAAUUGUAUACGGGAUUGAUUGAAUCCUCGACAUCGUGGUUCAUCCGAUGAGAUCAUCGUGGAACAUGUGGGAGCCAACAUGGGUAUCCAGAUCCCGCUGUUGGUUAUUGACCGGAGAGGCGUCUCGGUCAUGUCUGCAUGUCUCCCGAACCCGUAGGGUCUACACACUUAAGGUUCGGUGACGCUAGGGUUGUAGAGAUAUGAGUAUGCGGAAACCUGAAAGUUGUUCGGAGUCGCGGAUGAGAUCCCGGACGUCACGAGGAGUUCCGGAAUGGUCCAGAGGUGAAGAAUUAUAUAUAGGAAGUCAAGUUUCGGCCACCGGGAAAGUUUCGGGGGUCACCGGUAUUGUACCGGGACCACCGGAAGGGUCCCGGGGGUCCACCGGGUGGGGCCACCUAUCCCGGAGGGCCCCAUGGGCUGAAGUGGGAAGGGAACCAGCCCUUAGUGGGCUGGGGCGCCCCCCAUGGGCCUUCCCCCUGCGCCUAGGGUUGGAAACCCUAGGGUGGGGGGGCGCCCCACUUGCCUUGGGGGGCAAGUCUCCCCCCUGGCCGCCGCCCCCCCAUGCAGAUGGGUCUUGGCCGGCGCCCCCCUCCCAGGGGGCCUAUAUAAAGGGGGGGAGGGAGGGCAGCAGUGCUACAGCCUUUGGCGCCUCCCUCCUCCCCUGCAACACCUCUCCCUCUCGCAGAAGCUCGGCGAAGCCCUGCCGAGAUCCCGCUACAUCCACCACCACGCCGUCGUGCUGCUGGAUCUCCAUCAACCUCUCCUUCCCCCUUGCUGGAUCAAGAAGGAGGAGAUGUCGCUGCUCCGUACGUGUGUUGAACGCGGAGGUGCCGUCCGUUCGGCACUCGGUCAUCGGUGAUUUGGAUCACGGCGAGUACGACUCCAUCAACCUCGUUCAUUGGAACGCUUCCGCUCGCGAUCUACAAUGGUAUGUAGAUGCACUCCUUUCCCCUCGUUGCUAGUAUAGUCCAUAGAUGGAUCUUGGUGAGCGUAGGAAAAUUUUAAAAUUCUGCUACGAUCCCCAAUACCAUGUCACUGCCAGCAUGCACCAUGGCACUUGGGGGCUAAUGUAAAGACAUUUUUUGCUCCACUUAUUGAAGACCCGACUCAUCACAUUGUAAUGAGCCGGCCCUUGGGGGCUACCAAUUGCUCAUGUCGAAAAUUCAAGGUACACAAGCCUUAAUCUAUUAUAUUGAAAGAUCCACUACUCAGUUGGUAGAGUACAAAGCUCUUAACCUUGUGGACGUGGGUUCAAGCCCCAUGGUGGAGAUUACAUCAUAUGCUGUUAUUAUCAAUGAAUCAUAUACAAAGUCCCAGCUCGGUAAUAUCUUACUGACCCGGCCCUUGGGGGCUACACGUUGCUGGUCAAGUUUACAUGAUCAUAUUUACAAAGUCCCUGCUCAUUAUUGCAUAAUGACCCGGCCCUUGGGGGCUACACCGGUUGAAGUUUUUAUGAGCAUAAGGCAAUUACAAGUCCUAGGUUGCUGCAAGCAUGACAACCCGGCACUUGGGGGCUACAUAUGUGGAAUAUUCAGUUUAUGAGUAAUUCUCAGUUUGGAGUAGACCAGAUUAACCCGGUGUCUGCAACAAUCAUGACCCGGCAUCAGUUAUUUAUAACCCGGCAAUUUUGGCAAUCAUCGGCAAGAUCUACAUCUUUAAGCCGGCUGAAUAUCAGUUGAAUAUUUCAAGACCAAUAUUUUUGUCAAGUCAGAGCAUUGAAGGCCGAAUCAAAUGGAUUAUUUCUUAUAAUGUUUCUCUACAAGAGCCAAUGUCAGCAGAUUGGUUAUGAAGCUGGCCUAUUGACCCGGAUUUUUUAGAAGAAGUGCCUGGAUUUUUUGCAUUGGCAAGGUUUGGACAUAUCUGUUAAAAGAGAUUUGCUAUAAGAUCUUGAGUAUGCAUCCAGGAGGAAAAUGACAAGGACUUAAAGAUGAUCAGGUGCCGGUUUAGGAAAAUAUUUAACCCGGAGCACAACCUAUCAAGCUUGUUCUUGUGUUUAAUUUACAGGAUCAGUUUAACAUGGAUGAAUCCAUAUUAAACUGGGGGCUAAUGUCGGGGAUAUACCCCGCGGUAUGACUCGGCCGGGAGUAUGACCCGGCCGGACAUGGCGCUUCAUCGUAACCCGACGAAGGAUUGGCGACUCAUUAGCCUGGCGACUUAAUGAUGGCCCCGACGGCGGGUCAGACAUAAGAGUAGGCCCAAGGCCCAGAGGGCCGGCUCAUGUUAUGGUGGGCCGGUUUAUGAGGAAAGGCAUAAAGAAUAUUCUCCUACCAAGGAAGCAAGACCCGGACUUGUAUUCAACUUGUAAGAAAAGAUAGACUAGUCUUAGUCCUACUAGGACUCCGCAUAUAACCUGCCCCUCUAACUUAUAUAAGGAGGGGCAGGGCACCCCAAAGAGGGACAGACAAGACAAGAAACAAUCUCUAGGGCUAAACACCGAGAGCCGGUUCCCGGCGACUCUCCCGUGAUCAUAAUGAGACAUAGCCUCAAACAGCAUGUAGGGUUGUUACCGGAUGAUGUUUCCCGGGGCCCGAAGCUGUCUAAAUCCUUGUCUUGUGUUGCGUCUCUCGAUUCCGCUCAACCCCUCUCAAGCUACCACAUAGAUGCAUUGGCCUCGCGACUAAGUCCUGACACUAAGGACAUCUGCCGUGGCAAUUCCAUGACACCUUUGGUUGAAGCACUUGUUAGCAUAGUGACCUUUCUGCUGACACUUGUUGCAAGUCACCUCUGAGAGUGGACGAUGAUAAGGAGCAUUCGACUUUGGAGCUUGAUUCUGAGACUUGUUCUGAUAGCCAGGGUUGGAUGAGUGGGAAGACCCAUGGCCACCUUUGUUCUUCUGCUGGAAAGGCUGACGAAACGGAGGAGGAGGAGGCAACCAGAACUUCUGUUGCUUAGCAGCCACUAGUGAGGAAGAAGAAGACUGAACUGCGUCCCUGACUCUCUUCUUAGAAGCCUCACACUUGAGCUGAGCAGCCUCUUGCUUCAGAGCCAUAUUGUAGAAAUCAUCAUACUUGGUCGGCUCAAAAAGCACGAGAGGUAAUUGCAGAUCUUCUCUGAGGCCACCACUGAAUUGAUAGAUCAUGCUCUUUUCAUCAAGAACGUCUUGCUUAGCGAAGCGAGCGAGUUUCUGAAACUGAGUAUUGUAUUGAUACACGGACAUGCUGCCUUGCUUGAGAUUGCGGAACUCCUCACGCUUGCUCUCAACAACACUUUGUGGAAUGUGGUGAGCUUUGAAGUCUCGGUGGAAAUCAUCCCAGGUAAUCACACGACCUCCUCUAGAAUCUUUGUAUUGUUGAUACCACUCGGCAGCUUGAUCCUUGAGUUGAAAAGAAGCGAACUUGACAAAGUCCUCAGGCCUGACGUUGCUACAUUCAAAAUGUUUGUUGAUGUCCACGAGCCAAUCAUCGGCGUCUGUGGCCUCGGCACAGCAGCUGAAAGACUUGGGCUGAUCUGCGAGGAACUGGUUGAGGGUAGCGAAGUGAGGCUGAUUGUUGCCUUGGCCUUGAUUUCCUUGAUUGCCUUGCCCUUGGGUGCGUUCUUGCAAGAGUUGCAAAAUCAUCUGAGCAUUGGCGUUGGUGGCUGCCAUGAUAGCUUGCCAUGCCUCCGAAGGCGGAGGUGGUGGCGGAGGGUUCGCCUGACUCCCUUCAUUGCGUUCCGGAUUCUGACGCGUUGGCGGAGCCAUCCUGAAGAGGGUGGCAUCCGUUAGCAUCUUGAUAGACAGAUAGGCAAAUUGAAUCAACGGAUAGAAAUUGCAACAUAUAGUCUUCACAAUAAACAUUUGAACGAGGAUGAACGAAUGAAUUCCAUAGUAAAUCAUCACCCUUCCAUUAAGGUGAGAAGCCACUUGAUAAGAGAUUGAUGAAUAAAAUAAAAAGGUACGAGUGGAACAAAUAAGUGGUAAGGAUUACCCAAUCACAAACCAAAUAUAUGCGGGAAGAAAUGCUAAGAGCUACUUGAAUCCCACCUAUAAACUCCCGAAACUUUCUGGUUAUGCAAUCUGUUGUUGGGGAUACAGGGGACACAAAAUAUAUCACCCAAACUAGCAAUUCCUAGGUCCAGCUGUAUCCAUCCGUCAACACAUAACCAAGAAACCUUCGGAAAUCGUGUACCUCAACCUUCGAAAAUCAUCCGUUAUACGAGUUAUGGCAAUACUCCCGAACUCGCGCCCCAGUACUGGGUGGCGUCGAGGUGAUCUCACCAACAACUGCAUAAAAGAGAUUUUCGAUGUCGGCGAAACUCAGGUAUUCUAGAACUGCAAAGAUAAAAUUGUGACGACAACACCUCGGAGCUCAACUCCCCGGGACACUGCCACAACCCCUAAAUGUCAGGAGGCACCAAGAACAAUGUUCUCGUCACAAAACCAUCGGAACGAUUCCAAGAUACCCCCGUGAUCCUAAAUUUUUUUUAGUGAAAUUUGAGGAGAGAAGAGACAAAACUUCUACGUCAGGAGACCUCACCAGAGCGACGAAGGGACCGAGGAGUAAAAAGAAUCCUACUCUCCGAUAUAUAUAAUCCUAAGACUCAAAACAUUUUUUUUCUAGACUCAACAACGCCAACGAUUCGAUCAAGCAGGGGGCUCCUAAGUCGGGGAUGGCUCUGAUUACCAACUUGUAACGCCCACGAUGCGUCUAUAUCUCCCACGUGUCGAGGCACGACUUAGAGGCAUAACCGCAUUGUGGUUUUGUCACAAGAAGGGUCAUCUUCACACAAUCCCAUGUAAUGAACAAGAAUGGGAUAACGAGAGUUGGCUUACAAUCGCCACUUCACACAAUACAUAAAUAUAAUUCAUACAUCAUCCAAAAUCCACACAUAGACCGACUACGGUUGAAUCCAAAUGAAAAUAAGAUAACCCCAAAUGCUAGAUCCCCGAUCGUCCCAACUGGGCUCCACUACUGAUCAUCAGGAAAAGAAACAUAGUAACGACCACGUUCCUCAUCAAACUCCCACUUGAGCUCGGUUGCGUCAUCUGCACUGGCAUCGUCGGCACCUGCAACUGUUUUGGUAGAAUCUGUGAGUCACGAGGACUCAAGAAUCUCACACCCGCGAGAUCAAGACUAUUUAAGCUUAUAGGAAAGGGUGGUGUAAUGAGGUGGAGCUGCAGCAAGCACUAAGCAUAUAUGGUGGCUAACAUACGCAAAUGAGAGCGAGAAGAGAAGCAACGCAACGGCCGCGAAGCUAGAAGUGAUCAAGAAGUGAUCCUGAAACUACUUACGUUCAUGCAUAACUCAAACCGAGUUCACUUCCCGGACUCCGCCGAGAAGAGACCAUCACGGCUACACACACGGUUGGUGUAUUUUAAUUAAGUCAAUUGACAAGUUCUCUACAACCGGACAUUAACAAAUUCCCAUCUGCCUCAUAACCGCGGGCACGGCUUUCGGAAGAUAAUACCCUGCAGGGGUGUCCCAACUUAGCCCAUCAUAAGCUCUCACGGUCAACGAAGGAUAAACCUUCUCCCGGGAAGACCUAAUCAGUCUCGGAAUCCCGGUUUACAAGACAUUUCGACAAUGGUAAAACAAGACCAGCAAAGCCACCCGAAUGUGCCGACAAAUCCCGAUAGGAGCUGCACAUAUCUCGUUCUCAGGGCACACCGGAUGAGCCAGACGUCGGGUUGGCAUAGACCCUGGAUGCCCAGGGGGCGCCGGACAUCGCUCGGUUUGGGCCAACACUCGAAGGAGCACUGGUCCGGGGGGGUUAAAAUAAAGAUGACCCUCGGGCUCGCGAAAACCCAAGGGAAAAAGGCUUAGGUGGCAAAUGGUAAAACCAAGGUUGGGCCUUGCUGGAGGAGUUUUAUUCAAGGCGAACUGUCAAGGGGGUCCCAUAAAUCACCCAACCGCGUAAGGAACGCAAACUCAAGGAACAUAAUACCGGUAUGACGGAAACUAGGGCGGCAAGAGUGGAACAAAACACCAGGCAUAAGGCCGAGCCUUCCACCCUUUACCAAAUAUAUAGAUGCAUUAAUUAAAUAAGAGAUAUUGUGAUAUUCCAAAAUAUCCAUGUUCCAACAUGGAACCAACUUCAACUUCACCUGCAACUAGCAACGCUAUAAGAAGGGCUGAGCAAAACCGGUAACUUAGCCAAACAACGGUUUGCUAGGAAAGGAUGGUUAGAGGCUUGACAUGGCAAAUAUGGGAGGCAUGAUAUAGCAAGUGGUAGGUAGCGCAGCAUAGCAAUAGAACGAACAACUAGCAAAGCAAAGAUAGAAGUGAUUUCGAGGGUAUGGUCAUCUUGCCUGCAAGGUUCUUAGAGUUGUCGAAAGCUUGAUCCUCGUAAGCGUACUCAACAGGUUCCUCAUGCAUGAACUCGUCUCCCGGCUCUACCCACAACAAGAACAAAAGCAAUGGAACCACAAUCAAUCACGGGAAAUGCACAAGCAACAUGAUGCAAAACAUGCAUGAUAUGCGAGAUAUGAUAUGCGAUGCAUAUGCGUGCUCCGGAAGAAAGGAAUGAACAAGGCAGUAACUUGGCAAAACAAGUAUGCCACUGGACAGAUGAGAUGAUUUUGGUCGAAAUCGAUAUAAAGAUCACCGGAAACGGAUGCACGGUUUGCAAAUGACAAGCAAAACAAGAAUGACACGAUUCUGCGAUUAACAGCAUGAUAGCACUUAGAAUGCAACAAGUAACUAUGCUACGGCACCCCAACAUAGCAACAAAGCAUAUGUAAGUAAUCUACAGGGGAUGCGUGAAAAAAGAUGAACACUGAGCUACGGCUAGAUCACACCAUAACAGGUUCAAAAAAGCAUGGCAAAAGUGCAAAAGAUAACAGGAUCACAGACUGUGAAAUUACUGGACAUGGCUGAAACAGCAUCAGGUAGCAAUAUUCAGAGCAAGAAAAGCACAUGCUACAGGACCCUAACAUAGGAAAACAAGCCAUGGAAUGAAUCUACUAAAAGCAUAGAACAAAAGUCCCUUACUGACCAUGAGCCAGAAAGGACCAGAAGAUAUGAUGGCACCCAUGUAAACAUAGCAAGUUUCGUUAACAGGUUUCAGACUUGGCAGAAAACAGAGCAUGGCAGAAACAGUAUUAUGAAGGCAUCUUGGUGAGCUUGAUUCACUCAUCACAGAGCAAUGCAUGACAAAGCAAGCAUACCUACAGCAAGAUGGCAUGUUUAUGAAGCUGACCAUUGUAAAAGCAAGUUCAUAGCAUGUGUGGAUCAACUACAACAACCUUGGCAAAAUUGAAUAUCAUGUUAUCAAUCUGCCAGGAAUAUUUUAUAGCAAAAGUAGAGCAAGAUUAAGACAUGCUAUGGCACUCCAUAAUUGCAAACAGAGGCAUGGAUGGAUAGAAAACAACUAUAUCUACAAAACAUCCUUACUGAACAUGCCCAAAAGAAGCAUGGAUCUCUCUGUAGCCACAUGGAUACAUAACAACAAAAUAACAGCAGUAACAGACGGCAAAAAUCCGAAGUCCCUAAAAACAGAAACAUCACGAAGCCUAGUUUGCAUGCUUGUAGAGCUCAUACUCAUAAGACGGCAUGGCAUAGAUCACAAAAAUACAUGGCAUACACUUCUGUAAAGACGGCAUGGCAUAGAUCAAAACACAUGUAGAGCUCAUACUCAUAAGAUGCACACAUCAAUUGCAACAAAAAUAACAAAUCACCAAGUUCUGAUAAGUAACAGCAGUUAACAGCAUAUAGCACUCUUGCACCAGAGAUUUGGGCAUCAAUAUGGACUCAAACGAGCAUGUCACAAUGUAACAAAAUGAAAAUCAUCUCGAGGCGAACAUUUCGAUAUAUUACAUGCACGAAACGGAGCAGUAUGCACGGAGUUAUGAUGUGAUGAACAUGAGCACAUAAAGUGAAAUAUACGGGACGGGAGAAAUUCGGGGGAGGGGAGAAGUCAACCUUCGAACGAGAUCUGGAUCGGGCGCGACUCGGGCUCGCCGGAGCUCGCGUCGGAGUUGGAGCUGGCCGGCCGGAGCGGAGAGGAGGGAGAGGAGCUCGGAGAGGGGCGCGGGGUCCGGCGAGGAGGACGCGGUCGCCGGGGUCGGGGACGAGAGGAGCGGGCGGCGAGGGCGCNNNNNNNNNNNNNNNNNNNNNNNNNNNNNNNNNNNNNNNNNNNNNNNNNNNNNNNNNNNNNNNNNNNNNNNNNNNNNNNNNNNNNNNNNNNNNNNNNNNNNNNNNNNNNNNNNNNNNNNNNNNNNNNNNNNNNNNNNNNNNNNNNNNNNNNNNNNNNNNNNNNNNNNNNNNNNNNNNNNNNNNNNNNNNNNNNNNNNNNNNNNNNNNNNNNNNNNNNNNNNNNNNNNNNNNNNNNNNNNNNNNNNNNNNNNNNNNNNNNNNNNNNNNNNNNNNNNNNNNNNNNNNNNNNNNNNNNNNNNNNNNNNNNNNNNNNNNNNNNNNNNNNNNNNNNNNNNNNNNNNNNNNNNNNNNNNNNNNNNNNNNNNNNNNNNNNNNNNNNNNNNNNNNNNNNNNNNNNNNNNNNNNNNNNNNGGGAGAGGGCGACCGGGCCGCGGGGGGCGGCCGUGGGCCUCGCGGGCCUGCGGUCAGCGGCGAUGGCGGCGCCCACGUGGCGGCUGCGGAUAGGCCCGGGGCGGCGGCGGGAUUUCGUCCGGCUCGGGCCGGACACGUCCGGCUGCAGAGAGGGGAAGGGGACUAGGGUUUGCACCGCGAAUUCGGAGGGGGAUCACAUAUAUAUAGGUAGAGGGAGCUAGGAGACUCCAAAUGGGUGCGGUUUUCGCCCACACGAUCGUGAUCGAACGACCGAGAGCAUGGAAGGGACUUGGAUGGGAUAUUGGUCUGUUAGGAGGGGGGUUUUGCUGCAACACACAAAAGGACUUUGCGGUUACCCGGUUAACCGUUGGAGCAUCAAACGACCUCCAAAUGGAACGAAACUUGACAGGUGGUCUACCGCUGCUGUACCAAGGCCACUUGGCAAACCUCGGUCCAUUCCGAGAACGUUUAACACCCGCUCACGAAAAGAAACAAGAGGUAUGCGCCGGUGCACGGGGGAGUGUCGGAUUGCAAAACGGACAACGGGGAAAAUGCUCGGGCGCAAGAGACGAACACGUAUGCAAAUGAGAUGCACAUGAUGACAUGAUAUGACAUGCAUGGCAACAAAAUACAAAACAAAAAACAAAACCCAACCACAUAGGGAAUAUCAUAACACAUAGCCGAAAAUGGCAAGAGUUGGAGUUACAAAUAUGGAAAGUUACAUCCGGGGUGUUACAACACUCCACCACUACGAGAGGAUCUCGUCCCGAGAUCUAGGACUGAAAGAACUCCGGAUAUUCUGAAUGGAGGUGGUCCUCGCGUUCCCAGGUGGCUUCUCGGUCGGAAUGGUGCGGCCACUUCACUUUCAGGAAUUUGAUUGACUUGUUGCGAGUCUUGCGCUCAGUUUCUUCAAGAAUAGCAACAGGGUGCUCAUGAUAAGACAGAUCUUCUUGGAGGUCAAUCUCUUCGAAGUUGAUGGUGCGCUCACGAGUCUUGAAGCACUUGCGGAGCUGUGACACGUGGAACACAUCGUGCACGUUCGCGAAGUUGGAGGGAAGCUCAAGUUGAUAGGCGAGGUCACCUCUUUUGCCAAUGAUCUUGAAAGGACCCACGUAUCUAGGGGCAAGCUUCCCUUUGAUACCGAAGCGACGAGUGCCUUUCAUUGGAGAGACGCGGAGGUAGACAUGGUGUCCGAUCUCGAAAGCCAAAUCACGGUGCUUGCUAUCAUAGUAACUCUUUUGGCGCGAUUGCGCGGCUUUGAGAUUUUCACGGAUGACUUUACACAUUUCUUCAGCCUCUGUGAUUAAGUCAUUGCCAAGAAGUUGGCGUUCACCAAUCUCUGACCAAUUGAGAGGAAUACGACACUUUCUGCCAUAGAGAAUCUUGUCGGGGAUAUACCCCGCGGUAUGACCCGGCCGGAAGUAUGACCCGGUCGGACUUGGCGCUUCACCGUGGACCCGCCGGAGGACUGACGACUCACGAGCCUGACGAUUCAUGGAUGGCCCCGAUGGCGGGUCAGAUAGAAGACAAGGCCCAAGGCCCAGAAGGCCGGCUCACGUUUAUGAUGGGUCGGCUUAAGACGGAAGGCAUGAGGAAUAUUUCCUUUACAAGGAAAUAUUCCCGUACUUGUAUCCGACUUGUAAUAGGGAAUAAGUUAGUUCUAAUCCUACUAGGACUCUACAUGUAAAGCCGCCUCUCCAACUUAUAUAAGGAGGGGCAGGGCACCCCAAAGAGGAACAAGAAACAAUCUCUAGGGCUAGACACCGAGAGCCGGUUCCCGGCGACUCUCCCGUGAUCAUAAUCAGACCUAGCCUCAAACAGCAUGUAGGGUUGUUACCGGAUGAUGUUUCCCGGGGCCCGAAGCUGUCUAAAUCCUCGUCUUGUGUUGCGUCUCUUGAUUCCGCUCAACCCCUCUCAAGCUACCACAUAGAUGCGUUGGCCUCGCGACUAAGUCCUGACACUAAGGACAUCUGCCGUGACAAAUCUACGACAGUUGGCGCCCACCGUGGGGCCUGCGCACGAUGGUGUUGAGUUCUUGGAGGGAUUUUUCCUAGGGUUCGAGAAGCUCGUGAUGAUCCCGAUGAUGUAGAGUCGGCGUUGUUCGCUGCGAAGUUUUCUGCCGUUGGCGUGGAAGGAUUUACAUCGUUGACCAACAGUUGGAACGGCAUAUACGAGAUUGGAUUAAGAGUUAGGGUUGUAUCUGUGUACGCUGCAACACGCGACCAGGCGAUUCAUCGGACCGGAUCAAAUUUUGCUGCAAGGCCGUCAAAUUUCCAAGUCGCCGAGAUGGUUUCUACUAUAAUCUAUUUGGCGAAUCGGACACGCUACAAGUCCCAAGGCAUCAACUGUGGCUGCUUGUGAUAUUCUCUAUGCGUGAAAACCAACAUGUUCAUCUACUAGAAGUACUACUUACGUAGAGGCAGUGUUAUUGGAGUGCGAUAGUUCAUAUAUUUUUGAAUCUUCCAAUGGUUGUCGAGCGCUGCAUCUACUGACCCAUCAAGCUGCCACAUCAAAUCGGCCCGUAUCCGAGUCAAACCGGCGCAACUCACCGUCCGGCGAAAGGCCAAAAAUCAUCUUCCGCUUCUACUAUUGGGUCACGCCAUGUGUUAGGACAGAUACAUACUGAAUGCGGCCUCUUAUGUCUAAUUACUCAAUACAGCGCAUUCUAGUGAAAAUUAGACGUGGCGUUUCUCUUGCAUAUCGGAUCAAUCUCUAGUUUCCAAAACUACAAGGUCAAAAUUGCGGAGUGCUCAGCGCCGGGAAGCUGGGGACUCAGGCUCUGUUUCCAUCCCCAAGUCAUACCCGCGUCUGCUCUGGUUGGCUUCCACUUCGAGCACCCGCCGGCCGUCUCAGCUCACUCCGAGUGCCUCCGCAACUGAGACCCGCAGCCAUGCCGCCGGGUUGUCCUCGCCAGCGCGUUUUGUUUCAGCUGCCGCGAUCGAGCUGUUGUGACUCGCCGCCCUGCUGCUCUAACCGCUGCCGUGACCAUGGUUCACAUUGAUCAUAACCUGCCUUGAGCAGCUCCCGGAGAGCCGCCCCGCGACUUCCAGAUUGCCGGGAUCCAAAAUCACCGGUUUACCAAUGAGUCGCACGCUACUGUCCGGGUCUUGUUUUUAUCGUAACCCGCCAAGUCGCCGCCCAUCGCCGGUUUGCCUCCGCCAUCGCGUCUGCGGCCUUGCGCGAGCCGGACGUUCCAAUGCUUGGCCUCCCGCGCGCUGUUCUGAGCCGGGCUUGGCUUCACUUCCACCUUGAGCAUGGCCCGGCCGCCUUUAAUGUUGAGUCACCUGCCGGUUUGCCACGAACGCCCCCAUCAUCGCCGGUUCACCACGAGUUCCGCCGUAGCCACCUACAGGGGGCGUCAGCGAGCCAUAGAUUCAAACUACCGCUCCAUGAGCCGUCGGUGCCGCGUCGACCCGGAUUUGCUGCAUCGAACCGCCCCCGCUGCUUUUGUGGCCUCACCUGCCGUUCAGCAAUAUAUCAAGGUUCAGCAAUAUAUGAAGGAGAAGAGCUACGACAGCAUCUCGUGAGGUCCUCGAGGGGGUCAGCAAAAAAAUCCUUUGGAUGCAUAUAAGGACCAAAGUGAUAGUACUAAAGGUUAUCUACAGAUGCCACAUACGGAUCAUCUGCCAUAUGAACAAAUCAGGUGCUAUUUUUCUAAACUUUUACUGGUAUAAUUAAGUAUCAUCCAAAGCUUUUUUCACAGUAUGUUAUGUUGUACACAGGUCAAUUGACUCAUGGCCAAGGUAUGAUCCGGUCCUCGUGCGCCGGCGUCGGAGGCGACGUACACAUCUGCACCGCCCGUGCCGGGAGCUUAAAGACUUGGAGAAUAACCCGAAGGGUUUCUACUUGAACCGCCGGGACCAUAUUGAGUCGCCGACCAGCUUAAACUGCCUCUGUCGCGAUGGAUGGAUCAUCCGUUGUCCAAACAAAAAGCAUCGGGUGAUAUCCGUCCGGUUUGUUUUCAUAGCACAUAGUAAUUUUUGUGUGAACAAUUACUCUGGCCUGUAAUAUUUUUAUGCAGGACGGCUAUUGAAAGAAAAAAUGGGUGGUAUUACACCGCGGAGGCAUGCUCGGUUGUGUCGUGCAGCUUCACGGACACGCGUAUCGCGGUCCGGUUUACAUCAACGCGUCGGCCGACUCGCCCGUCCGCACCACCUUACGACGCCAUGGACGACUCGCCCGUCCGCCCUCGCCACCGGUUCAAGCGUCCGCGCUGGUUUACAACGCGGAGGACAACUUGCUCGUCCGCACCGGCUUACAACGCCACGGCCGGCUCAUCUGUUUGCUCCCGCGGCCGACUCGGCCGUGAUUGAUUUCAGCUUCACCGUGAUGAUCAUCGACUCCGCGGUGGAUAAUUUCUGGCCUGACAUAUCAGGUGAAAUCAAUCCAGUAAAUUUUUAUAUAUUAUAUAUCGUUUUCUUUAAAAAGGAGCAAUUACUCUGGCUUGCGAUGUUUUUGAUGUAGGACAAUUGUUCACUACAUCAACACGACGUGGUUGACUCGCCCAUCCGCGCGGCUUACCGCGCCGGCAAUUGACUCGCCCGACCACACCGGUUUACAACGUCGUGACCAACUCAUCCGUUUGUACCACCUCUGAUGCUACAGUUGUUUUUACCAUCUGUCUCUCGCGGCCUGGUCUAUAUCAACAUACCGGGCCACACCUGUCUGCGUGAGCUGAUUAUUGAGUAUGAGCAAGUCACUGCUUGGGAAGCCCGGUUUUUCUUCCAACAAAAUUGGAGGCAAAUUAUCAUGUAUUAUCAGCCGCCGUCUGCACUGGAUGGCUCAAUGGGCAGGCGCACAAGUCGCCGCCACUAUAGUUUGGUUAAACUUGAAACAGCCAGUUGGAAGGAACCAUUGGCCGAGUUGCUGACACGGCUCAUACGGGAUCAUUUAUAAACCCGCCGCAGUCACCUCAACCUUCUGUGGAUUCACAUCGUGCUAUCAAUGCCAAUGAUAUACACCUUCUGCUAUGGUCAAAUAUGGAGAAUCUCAAGCCAACACCUCGAGUCGUCUUGAGACUCGGGGGCUACGAUGGCAUGACUCGGGAAUUCCGAGUCAUUGGAGGGAAUGAUAACCCGGUUCCGGAGGCUACUACCAUAUUGAUGAAAGUUUAAAGGCCGUCAGAAAAUUUCUGGCUUAAAAAGAAGGAUUCCGGUUUAGAUCCGGCUCAAGAGACUUGACAUCUCCCACAAAGCACUGAAGCUUUUAAAUAUCCGGUUCAAGGGAAAUUUAUCUGCCACAAAGUUUUGAAGCUCUCAAAUCCGGUUCAAGGUAAAUUUGUUCAUCACAAAGCUUUGAAACUCUCAAUAUCCGGUUUUUCCGGUUCAAAAAGAAUUUAUCUCUCGCAAAAGUUUGAGUUUUCAGGAAAAAUUAAAGGGACCAAAAAGAGUCUGUUACAAAGCACAACUCAAAUAUAGAUACCCUGCUUUAAUGACCAUUGGGAGCUGAUCGUAUUCGAAUUUAGCUUAACCCUUUGGGUGUGAUCCUGAUCGUAUUCGAAUCAGAGUCGCUAAAUAUUCUCAUGAUCACUAGGGGGCUUCCUAUUCAAACAUAGGUCGUAUUCGAACCAAAGAGAACAUAGUUGUCAGUACCCUCUUGAUCGGCACACUGCCGAGCUCACUAGGGGGGUUCUUGAUCGUAUUCGAUUCAUAGCUCAACCCCUCUUGGGAACCGACGUGGAUCGUAUUCGAAUCAGCGUCGUUAAACAACUCUCAAGGUCAUUUGGGGGCUUCCUGUUCAAACAUAGGUCGUAUUCGAACCAAAGAGAACAUAGCUGUCAGUACCCUCUUGAUCGGCAACGCCAAAGCCACUGGGGGCUAUAUGAUCGUAUUCGAAUCUUAGCUUAACCCCUUUGGGACGGUUUUCUGAUCGUAUUCGAAUCAGAAGCCUCAAAAUUUUUGAAGUCUCUUUUUGCAAAUAAUUUUUGGGAUUUCAUUUGAAGCUCUUUUGAACACAUCUAAAGUGUAUAUGAGUGGUUUCUAUUUAAACCCGGCUUGAUUUUCGAUGAUAAGUCGCCGGCUUAUGACAAUCAUCAUCUAUGUGGAAGCAUUGGCUUCUAAGGAUUGGGUUAUCACACUUACUGCACAGGUGUCAUAAGCCGGCAGUACAAUUCAAUAUCACAGGUAUGAUAUUGUUUAUACAUGAUUAUGUUUAAACCGGCCCACUUUAAGCCGCCGGUAUGUUUUGAAUUGCGCCAUUGGAAUCAUGUGCGUAUCAAAGAUUGGGUUAUCACCCUUAUUGUGCAGGUCAUAUAAACCGACAAUGCAAAUUCAAUAUCACAAGUAUGAUAUUAUAAUUAUGUUUCAAAGUUAUGAUUCAUAACAGGCUUAUCUGUGACUCCUUUUUUACACAUCAGUGCUCAUAUGUAAGAUAUUAUGACCCGCCCUGCGGUAAACCGCCAAGGGUUCUUGUGAUCUACUUGUGUGCAGGAUAAGGCUACAUUUGGGUAGUUACCCGCCCUGGCUUUUGACAUUAAGUCGCCAGGGCGUAUGUUGUUUAAACUCUGUGCAGGAUUUGCAGAACUAUGACUUAUAUAAAUGUUUAAGUCCAAGCUCAUCAUUAAAAUCGAUGCUUCACAAUGAUUAUCCGUUCUGGAUUUUCUCAAAGGCUAUAAGCCGCUGGGUUAUAAAAAUUCCGGCUUACAAUGGAGGCGUAUUAAAUUGCCAUCGGCCAAGGGGCCCCGGUAUUUAAAACUCCGGAUUUACUUAUCAACAGAUAAGGUAUUUGAAUCUUCAAAUAGCCAAACUUGGCUGGAUUUUCACUAUGAUAUUGAAUUUGAAGAUUUUCACAAACCGGGUUAUUCAAAUUUUUAAUAGCCAACAUGGCUGGAUUUUUAUUAUGGUUAUCAGUAACUAAUAUUAUGAUUGAGGUUUUCAAAGUCACUUUGGCGCAAUGGCUAUUAUUUUACCAAUGGAUAUGAUUUAUUCUACAAUGAAAGGAAUAGUCCCGCGUCGCUGCAGGCUUACAACCCGGCACUUGGGGGCUACAUUAUUCAAAUUGAGAUUACAUCGAAUAUGCAAAGUCCCAUGUCACUGCCAGCAUGCACCAUGGCACUUGGGGGCUAAUGCAAAGUCAUUUUUUGCUCAAACUUAUUGAAGACCCGACUCAUCACAUUCUAAAUGAGCCGGCCCUUGGGGGCUACCAAUUGCUCCUGUCGAAAAUUCAAGGUACACAAGCCUUAAUCCGUUAUAUUGAAAGAUCCACUAUUCAGUUGGUAGAGUACAAAGCUCUUAACCUUGUGGACGUGGGUUCAAGCCCCAUGGUGGAGAUUACAUCAUAUACUGUUAUUAUCAAUGAAUCAUAUACAAAGUCCCAGCUCGGUAAUAUCUUACUGACCUGGCCCUUGGGGGCUACACGUUGCUGGUCAAGUUUACAUGAUCAUAUUUACAAAGUCCCUGCUCAUUAUUGCAUAAUGACCCGGCCCUUGGGGGCUACGCUGGUUGAAGUUUAUAUGAGCAUAAGGCAAUUACAAGUCCCAGGUUGCUGCAAGCAUGACAACCCGGCACUUGGGGGCUACAUAAUAUGGAGUAUUCAGUUUUUACUAGUGACUGAGAUGAACAAUAUGGAUUUCUUCAAAGUGGCAGCAUUUAUAUUGAAGCAAGUCUUAAGCCAUCACUUUGUUCUACUCAAGACUAGAGGGCUACAGGUAUUAUAUUAUUAUCGAAGAAAUAUUUUCAAAUUCUCUAUUUUGAGCAAACCAGAUUGACUCGGCGUCACCAAUCAUUAUGACCCUAUGUCUACAACCCGGCGUCAUCAAUAAUCAUGAACCGGCGUUGGCAACAAUCAUGACCCGGAAUUAUCAGCCUUUAUAACCCGACAAUGGUGGUAAUCAUAAACCGGCAAGUUUUACAUCUUCAAGCCGGCUGGAUAUCAGUUGAAUAUUUCAGAGACUAAUAUUUUUGUCAAGUCAGAGCAUUGAAGGCCAAUUCAAAUGGAUUCUUUAUUUACAAGUGCCAAUAUCAGCAAAUGGGUUAUAAAGCAUGUAGGGUUGUUACCGGAUGAUGUUUCCCGGGGCCCGAAGCUGUCUAAAUCCUCGUCUUAUGUUGCGUCUCUCGAUUCCGCUCAACCCCUCUCAAGCUACCACAUAGAUGCGUUGGCCUCGCGACUAAGUCCUGACACCAAGGACAUCUGCCGUGACAAAUCUACGACAAAUCUCGAAUGGGGCCUUGCCCGAACUCGCUUGGAAGCUGUUGUUGUAGGAGAAUUCGGCAUAUGGAAGACAAUCUUCCCAUUUCAUGCCAAAGGAAAUGACACAAGCCCUGAGCAUAUCUUCAAGAAUUUGAUUGACUCGCUCGACUUGGCCACUAGUUUGAGGAUGGAAAGCUGUGCUGAAGGGAAUGUUUGUGCCCAUGGCCUUCUGGAAGGAGUUCCAGAACUUAGAAGUGAAGAUACUUCCACGAUCUGAAGAAAUCAAUUGUGGAAUGCCGUGCAAAGAGACAAUCCUGGAGGUGUAUAGCUUUGCCAACUGAGCUGUUGUGAUAGAUUCUUUGAUUGGAAGGAAAUGAGCCACUUUUGUAAGCUUGUCAAUGGCAACGAAGAUAGCAUCAUUUCCACGCUUGGACUUGGGAAAUCCAGUCACGAAGUCCAUUUCGAUAUGAUCAAACUUCCAUUCUGGGAUAGCAAGAGGUUGGAGGAGACCAGCUGGUCGUUGGUGUUCUGCUUUCACCCUUCGAGAGACAUCACAUUCAUUCACGAAUUGAGCGAUUUCUCGCUUCAUUCAAGUCCACCAAUACGACUGCUUGAGGUCAUGGUACAUGUUCGUACUUCCAAGAUGAAUGGAAAGAAGAGAAUUUUGCGCCUCGUUCAUAAUGACUUUCCUUAGAUCACCUUUAGGAACCACAAUCCGGUCCUCGAAGAAUAAAGUGUCUCUGUCAUCAAUGCGAUAGCACUUGUAUUUGGAAAGACCCUUGUCGAUACCACGUUUCACCUUCUUCACCAUGGCAUCAAGAAGUUGUGCCUCACGAAUUUGAUCUUCCAAAGUAGGAGAGACUAUUAGGUUUGCAAGAAAGCCUUGAGGAACAACUUGGAGAUUCAGCUUGCGGAAAGCUUCACAAAGAUCCGGUUGGAAUGGCUUGAGAAUUAGGCUGUUGCAAUAAGCCUUCCUGCUCAAAGCAUCUGCAAUGACAUUGGCUUUGCCUGGAGUAUAUUCAAUACUCGGAUUGUACUCUUGAAUCAUUUCAACCCAUCGAGUCUGUCGGAGGUUGAGGUUGGGCUGAGUGAAGAUGUACUUGAGACUCUUGUGAUCGGUGAAUAUGUCCACUUUUCUUCCCAACAAGAGAUGUCUCCAUGUGAUUAAUGCAUGGAAAACUGCCGCCAACUCAAGAUCGUGAGUGGGGUAGUUCUUUUCGUUGGGCUUCAACUGACGAGAGGUAUAGGCCACAACUUUCUUCUCUUGCAUUAACACAACACCGAGACCUUGAAGAGAAGCAUCACAGAAAACUUCGAAUGGCUUGGAUUCGUCAGGAGGAGUUAAGACAGGAGCUGUGACGAGUUUCUCUUUGAGAGUGUUGAAAGCAACGUCACACUCAGGAGUCCAAACAUACUUCACAUGCUUCUGAAGGAGGUUGGAAAGAGGCUUUGCAAUCUAAGAGAAAUUCUCAACGAAUCUUCGGCAAUAGCUUGCAAGACCAAGAAAACCGCGAAGCUGGUUGACAUUUUGAGGAGGUUCCCAAUUCACAAUUGCAGACACCUUCUCGGGAUUAACAGCGAUGCCCUUGGCAGAGAUGAUAUGACCAAGGUAAAGAACUUCAUCAAGCCAAAACUCACAUUUUGAAAACUUCGCAUAGAAUUGAUACUCUCUGAGCUUGUCGAGCACCAAUCGCAAAUGUUUGGCAUGAUCCUUCUUAUUCUUGGAGAAGACCAAGCUAUCAUCGAGAUACACCAGGACGAAUUCAUUGGUAUAGGGGUUGAAGAUGAAAUUCAUCAUUCGAGAGAAUGUUGGAGGAGCAUUGACAAGGCCGAAAGACAUGACAGUAUAUUCAUAAGAACCAAAGCUUGUUCUGAAAGCUGUCUUGGGAAUAUCUUCUUCACGAAUGUGAAUCUGAUGAUAACCCAUACGAAGGUCAAGCUUGGAGAAUACUUUAGCACCUUUAAGUUGCUCGAAUAGUUCAUUGAUGUUGGGAAGUGGAUACUUGUUAUUGAUUGUCUUCUUGUUCAAUGGACGGUAGUCGACACAAAGUCUGUCCGUGCCAUCCUUCUUCUGGACAAAAAGAACACCAGAACCCCAUGGAGAUGAACUCGGUCUGAUCAAACCCAGACGCUCUUGUUCAUCGAGCUGUUUCUUCAAUUCCUUCAGCUCCUUGGGUCCAAGCUUAUAAGGACGCUUGCAAACGGGUUGAGUGCCAGGCUCAAGAUCGAUAACGAACUCAACUGGCCGGUGAGGAGGCAUGCCCGGAAGCUCUUCUGGAAAGACAUCUUGGUACUCACAAACGACUGGAAUCUGAGAGAUGGCAUUCAACUCGCCCUUCUCAUUGAGAGAAAAUAACCGAAUGGUUUCAUCACGAGCGGCAUAUAUAAUCACAUCCUCAGAAGAGUGUGUCAAUUGAAUUUCCCUGGGAGCACAAUCAAGUUGAGCCUUGUGCUUAGAAAGCCAGUCCAUCCCGAGAAUAAGAUCAAUAUCCGAGUCACCAAGGACAAUUGGAGAAGAUAGAAAUUUAUAAUCGCCCAUCCUGAUGGAAACAUCCGGAACCACCAAACUAGAAAUCAAACGUUUACCCGAAGAAACGACAUCCAUGGGUUUACCCAAAUGUGAACAAGUGAAUUCAUGCUUGGCAAAAAACGGUCUUGAAAUGAAACAAAGCGAAGCACCAGUGUCAAAUAAGACUUUUGCAGGAAUAUCAUUAACUGAGAGAUUACCCAUUAUCACAUCAGUAGAUUCCUCCGCUUGAGCUGCAUUCAUCAUGUUCACCUUUGCAGACUUGGGAUUAUGCUUGACCACUGCAUUGCUGGAAGAUAUCACGGGAGGAGGAGGCGGAAGACGCCUUUGGUUGAAGCACUUGUUAGCAUAGUGACCUUUCUGCUGACACUUGUUGCAAGUCACCUCUGAGAGUGGACGAUGAUAAGGAGCAUUCGACUUUGGAGCUUGAUUCUGAGACUUGUUCUGAUAGCCAGGGUUGGAUGAGUGGGAAGACCCAUGGCCACCUUUGUUCUUCUGCUGGAAGGGCUGACGAAACGUAGGAGGAGGAGGCAACCAGAACUUAUGUUGCUUAGCAGCCACUAGUGAGGAAGAAGAAGACUGAACUGCGUCCCUGACUCUCUUCUUAGAUGCCUCACACUUGAGCUGAGCAGCCUCUUGCUUCAGAGCCAUAUUGUAGAAAUCAUCAUACUUGGUCGGCUCAAAAAGCACGAGAGGUAAUUGCAGAUCUUCUCUGAGGCCACCUCUGAAUUGAUAGAUCAUGCUCUUUUCAUCAAGAACGUCUUGCUUAGCAAAGCGAGCGAGUUUCUGAAACUGAGUAUUGUAUUGAUACACGGACAUGCUGCCUUGCUUGAGAUUGCGGAACUCCUCACGCUUGCUCUCAACAACACUUUGUGGAAUGUGGUGAGCUUUGAAGUCUCGGCGGAAAUCAUCCCAGGUAAUCAAACGACCUCCUCUGGAAUCUUUGUAUUGUUGAUACCACUCGGCAGCUUGAUCCUUGAGUUGAAAAGAAGCGAACUUGACAAAGUCCUCAGGCCUGACGUUGCUACAUUCAAAAUGCUUGUUGAUGUCCACGAGCCAAUCAUCGGCGUCUGUGGCCUCGGCACAGCAGCUGAAAGACUUGGACUGAUUUGCGAGGAACUGGUUGAGGGUAGUGAAGUGAGGCUGAUUGUUGCCUUGGCCUUGAUUUCCUUGAUUGCCUUGCCCUUGGGUGCGUUCUUGCAAGAGUUGCAAAAUCAUCUGAGCAUUGGCGUUGGUGGCUGCCAUGAUAGCUUGCCAUGCCUCCGGAGGCGGAGGUGGUGGCGGAGGGUUCGCCUGACUCUCUCAAUUGCGUUCCGGAUUCUGACGCGUUGGCGGAGCCAUCCUGAAGAGGGUGACAUCCGUUAGCAUCUUGAUAGACAGAUAGGCAAAUUGAAUCAAUGGAUAGAAAUUGCAACAUAUAGUCUUCACAAUAAACAUUCGAACGAGGAUGAACGAAUGAAUUCCAUAGUAAAUCAUCACCCUUCCAUUAAGGUGAGAAGCCACUUGAUAAGAGAUUGAUGAAUAAAAUGAAAAGGUACGAGUGGAACAAAUAAGUGGUAAGGAUUACCCAAUCACAAACCAAAUAUCUGCGGGAAGAAAUGCUAAGAGCUACUUCAAUCCCACCUAUAAACUCCCGAAACUUUCUGGUUAUGCAAUCUGGUGUUGGGGAUACAGGGGACACAAAAUAUAUCACCCAAACUAGCAAUUCCUAGGUCCAGCUGUAUCCAUCCGUCAACACAUAACCAAGAAACCUUCGGAAAUCGUGUACCUCAACCUUCGAAAAGCAUCCGUUAUACGAGUUAUGGCAAUACUCCCGAACUCCCGCCCCAGUACUGGGUGGCGUCGAGGUGAUCUCACCAACAACUGCAUAAAAGAGAUUUUCGAUGUCGGCUAAACUCAGGUAUUCCAGAACUGCAACGAUAAAAUUGUGACGACAACACCUCAGAGCUCAACCCCCCGGGACACUGCCACAACCCCUAAAUGUCAGGAGGCACCAAGAACAAUGUUCUCGUCACAAAACCAUCGGAACGAUUCCAAGAUACCCGCGUGAUCUUAAAAAAAAAUUAGUGAAAUUUGAGGAGAGAAGAGACAAAACUUCUACGUCAGGAGACCUCACCAGAGCGACGAAGGGACUGAGGAGUAAAAAGAAUCCUACUCUCCGAUUUAUAUAAUUCUAAGACUCAAAACAUUUUUUUUCUAGACUCAACAAUGCCAACGAUUCGAUCAAGCAGGGGGCUCCUAAGUCGGGGAUGGCUCUGAUUACCAACUUGUAACGCCCACGAUGCGGCUAUAUCUCCCACGUGUCGAGGCACGACUUAGAGGCAUAACCGCAUUGUGGUUUUGUCGCAAGAAGGGUCAUCUUCACACAAUCCCAUGUAAUGAACAAGAAUGGGAUAACGAGAGUUGGCUUACAAUCGCCACUUCACACAAUACAUAAAUAUAAUUCAUACAUCAUCCAAAAUCCACACAUAGACCGACUACGGUUGAAUCCAAAUGAAAAUAAGAUAACCCCAAAUGCUAGAUCCCCGAUCGUCCCAACUGGGCUCCACUACUGAUCAUCAGAAAAAGAAACAUAGUAACGACCACGUUCCUCAUCAAACUCCCACUUGAGCUCGGUUGCGUCAUCUGCACUAGCAUCGUCGGCACCUGCAACUGUUUUGGUAGAAUCUGUGAGUCACGAGGACUCAAGAAUCUCACACCCGCGAGAUCAAGACUAUUUAAGCUUAUAGGAAAGGGUGGUCUAAUGAGGUGGAGCUGCAGCAAGCACUAAGCAUAUAUGGUGGCUAACAUACGCAAAUGAGAGCGAGAAGAGAAGCAACACAACGGCCGCGAAGCUAGAAGUGAUCAAGAAGUGAUCCUGAAACUACUUACGUUCAGGGGGCGCCGGACAUCGCUCGGUUUGGGCCAGCACUCGAAGGAGCACUGGUCCGGGGGGGUUAAAAUAAAGAUGACCCUCGGGCUCGCGAAAACCCAAGGGAAAAAGGCUUAGGUGGCAAAUGGUAAAACCAAGGUUGGGCCUUGCUGGAGGAAUUUUAUUCAAGGCGAACUGUCAAGGGGGUCCCAUAAAUCAUCCAACCGCGUAAGGAACGCAAACUCAAGGAACAUAAUACCGGUAUGACGGAAACUAGGGCGGCAAGAGUGGAACAAAACACCAGGCAUAAGGCCGAGCCUUCCACCCUUUACCAAAUAUAUAGAUGCAUUAAUUAAAUAAGAGAUAUUGUGAUAUUCCAAAAUAUUCAUGUUCCAACAUGGAACCAACUUCAACUUCGCCUACAACUAGCAACGCUAUAAGAAGGGCUGAGCAGAAGCGGUAACUUAGCCAAACAACGGUUUGCUAGGGAAGGAUGGUUAGAGGCUUGACAUGGCAAAUAUGGGAGGAAUGGUAUAGCAAGUGGUAGGUAGCGCGGCAUAGCAAUAGAACGAACAACUAGCAAAGCAAAGAUAGAAGUGAUUUCGAGGGUAUGGUCAUCUUGCCUGCAAGGUUCUCAGAGUUGUCGAAAGCUUGAUCCUCGUAAGCGUACUCAACAGGUUCCUCGUUCACGAACUCGUCUCCCGGCUCUACCCACAACAAGAACACAAGCAAUGGAACCACAAUCAAUCACGGGAAAUGCACAAGCAACAUGAUGCAAAACAUGCAUGAUAUGCGAGAUAUGAUAUGCGAUGCAUAUGCGUGCUCCGGAAGAAAAGAAUGAACAAGGCAGUAACUUGGCAAAACAAGUAUGCCACUGGAAAGAUGAGAUGAUUUCGGUCAAAAUCGAUAAAGAUCACCGGAAACGGAUGCACGGUUUGCAAAUGACAAGCAAAACAAGAAUGACACGAUUCUGCGAUUAACAGCAUGACAGCACUUAGAAUGCAACAAGUAACUAUGCUACAGCACCCCAACAUAGCAACAAAGCAUAUGGCAGUAAUCUACAGGAGAUGCUUGACAAAAGAUGAACACUGAGCUACGGCUAGAUCACACCAUAACAGGUUCAAACAAGCAUGGCAAAAGUGCAAAAGAUAACAGGAUCACAGACGGUGAAAUUACUGGACAUGGCUGAAACAGCAUCAGGUAGCAAUGUUCAGAGCAAGAAAAACACAUGCUACAGGAACCUAACAUAGAAAAACAAGGCAUGGCAUGAAUCUACUAAAUGCAUAGAACGGAAGUCCCUUACCGAUCAUGAGCCAGAAAGGACCAGAAGAUAUGAUGGCACCCAUGUAAACGUAGCAAGUUUCGUUAACAGGUUUCAGACUUAGCAGAAAACAGAGCAUGGCAGAAACAGUAUUAUGAAGGCAUCUUGGUGAGCUUGAUUCACUCAUCACAAAGCAAUGCAUGACAAAACAAGUAUACCUACAGCAAGAUGGCAUGUUUAUCAAGCUAACCAUGGCAAGAGAAUGUUCAUAGCAUGUAUGGAUCAACUACAACAACCUUGGCAAAAUUGAAUAUUAUGUUGACAAUCUGCCAGCAAUAUUUUAUAGCAAAAGUAGAGCAAGAUUAAGACAUGCUAUGGCACUCCAUAAUUGCAAACAGGGGCAUGGAUGGAUAGAGAACAACUAUAUCUACAAAACAUCCUUACUGUACAUGCCCAAAAGAAGCAUGGAUCUCUCUGUAGCCACAUGGAUACAUAACAACAAAAUAACAGCAGUAACAGACGGCAAAAAUCCGAAGUCCCUAAAAACAGAAACAUCACGAAGCCUAGUUUGCAUGCUUGUGCUAGUCACCACAUAGAUCACAAAAAUACAUGGAAUACACCUCUGUAAAGCUGGCAUGACAUAGAUCAAAACACAUGUAGAGCUCAUACUCAUAAGAUGCACACAUCAAUUGCAACAAAAAUAACAAAUCACCAAGUUCUGAUAAGUAGCAGCAGUUAACAGCAUAUAGCACUCUUGCACCAGAGAGUUGGGCAUCAAGAUGGACUCAAACGAGCAUGGAACAAUAGAACAAAAUGAAGAGCAUCUCGAGACGAACAUUUCUAUAUAUUACACGCACGAAACGGAGCAGUAUGCACGGAGUUAUGAUGCGAUGAACAUGAGCACAUAAAGUGAAAUAUAUGGGACUUAGAGAGUUUCGGGGGAGGGGAGAAGUCAACCUUCGAACGAGAUCUGGAUCAGGCGCGGCUCGGGCUCGCCGGAGCUCGCGCCGGAGCUGGAGCUGGCCGGCCGGAGCGGAGAGGAGGGAGAGGAGCUCGGAGAGGGGCGCGGGGUCCGGCGAGGAGGACGNNNNNNNNNNNNNNNNNNNNNNNNNNNNNNNNNNNNNNNNNNNNNNNNNNNNNNNNNNNNNNNNNNNNNNNNNNNNNNNNNNNNNNNNNNNNNNNNNNNNNNNNNNNNNNNNNNNNNNNNNNNNNNNNNNNNNNNNNNNNNNNNNNNNNNNNNNNNNNNNNNNNNNNNNNNNNNNNNNNNNNNNNNNNNNNNNNNNNNNNNNNNNNNNNNNNNNNNNNNNNNNNNNNNNNNNNNNNNNNNNNNNNNNNNNNNNNNNNNNNNNNNNNNNNNNNNNNNNNNNNNNNNNNNNNNNNNNNNNNNNNNNNNNNNNNNNNNNNNNNNNNNNNNNNNNNNNNNNNNNNNNNNNNNNNNNNNNNNNNNNNNNNNNNNNNNNNNNNNNNNNNNNNNNNNNNNNNNNNNNNNNNNNNNNNNNNNNNNNNNNNNNNNNNNNNNNNNNNNNNNNNNNNNNNNNNNNNNNNNNNNNNNNNNNNNNNNNNNNNNNNNNNNNNNNNNNNNNNNNNNNNNNNNNNNNNNNNNNNNNNNNNNNNNNNNNNNNNNNNNNNNNNNNNNNNNNNNNNNNNNNNNNNNNNNNNNNNNNNNNNNNNNNNNNGUGGCGGCUGCGGAUAGGCCCGGGGCGGUGGCGGGAUUUUGUCCGGCUCGGGCCGGACACGUCCGGCUGCGGAGAGGGGAAGGGGACUAGGGUUUGCAACGUGAAUUCGGAGGGGGGUCACAUAUAUAUAGGUAGAGGGAGCUUGGAGACUCCAAAUGGGGUGCGGUUUUCGCCCACACGAUCAUGAUCGAACGACCGAGAGCAUGGAAGGGACUUGGAUGGGAUAUUGGGCUGUUAGGAGGGGGUUUUUUCUGCAACACACAAAAGGACUUUGCGGUUACCCGGUUAACCGUUGGAGCAUCAAACGACCUCCAAAUGGAACGAAACUUGACAGGUGGUCUACCGGUGGUGUACCAAGGCCACUUGGCAAACCUCGGUCCAUUCCGAGAACGUUUAACACCCGCUCACGAAAAGAAACAAGAGGGACGCGCCGGUGCACGUGGGAGUGUCGGAUUGCAAAACGGACAACGGGGAAAAUGCUCGGACGCAAGAGACGAACACGUAUGCAAAUGAGAUGCACAUGAUGACAUGAUAUGAGAUGCAUGGCAACAAAAUACAAAACGAAAAACAAAACCCAACCACGGAGGGAAUAUCAUAACACAUAGCCAAAAAUGGCAAGAGUUGGAGUUACAAAUAUGGAAAGUUACAUCCGGGGUGUUACAUAUAUCUAGCUAUGCCUAGUCUCAGAUUUGGGUUCCUGAACAAUCUUGUGAUGUUAUAUACCAGAUCUUGAAAGCAAACUUUCUAAUUUAUUUACUUUGCCCCAUUCUUGCCAAGUUACUGCUUCUUAAAUCGGCUACAUGCCUAGUGUGUUUGUGCUAAACUAGAUACAUGCCUAUUGUCUUUGUAUAUAUAUGGUCAUGCAAAGAAUAUGAUGUUGUCUGAAAAAAUAACAUAUGGAAGGGGCUAGCCUUGUCCUAAUUUUAACUCUGAAUCUUUAGGAUAACCUGAAGUUUGCUUGUCUUGCCCAUAAUAAUGGUGUAUCCAAUUAAUUGCGUAAAAGUAUUAGCUAUUGUAAUUUAAUUUCACUGGUGAAAGUAGGGUAUCUAGUUUUUUUGGCAGGGAGUACUAGUAUUAAUUAAGCUAAUAGUUCAAUUUAACCAUCGAGAACGUUGAAAGCUAAUCCCAUUCAAGUUGUUCCCUCCUGUACUAGGCAAUUGAACCAUGGUUUAUUUUAUUUUCAAGCCUAUUAUGUUUGAGCAUAGGCAAAAAAAUCACGUUGUAUGUUAGAGCAUCUACAACCAGAAUUGCCUAAUAUGAGUCCCUAAUACAAGUCGAACGAUAAAUUUAGAGCAUAGUUCAUUGCCAAUCAGACCCAAAAGACAUUGUUCGUCGGAUUACUACAAAGAGAGUAAAACUAGAUAAAAUGUAAAAUAUGGAGCGGGACUGGAGGUGCUGGCGCCGGAGGGGAAGGGACACACCCUCCCUGCUCCGGAUCUUGAGCGGCGCAGAGCGGGGCGGGCGGGCGACCACGGCCCGCAUUUUGCUGGCGGGAGGUGGAGGAGCUAGUGGACGCGACGAAGCUUGUGCUCCCGCCGGUGUCCAAGCGCGAGCGCUUGAUGGCGAUGCAGAGCACGUGGUUCUCCUCGUUCGACACGCCGCUGCUAGAUCCGCCGUCCUCCUCCUUCAUGAGACCGUGCCAAUCCAUGGGAUCGGGCUCGCUGCCGGAAUCCUGACCGGACUUGGCCAUGGCGGAGGGGAGGAGAUGGAUUUGGGAGGAAGCAUAGGCGAUGAGGGAAGCGGAUAAGACGAGUGUGGACUGAGAAAGUGAGGGUAUGACUAGGGUUUGUCUGAUAGGGGUGGCGUAUUUGUGGGGUCAUCGGUGGGGGUGGCGCGGGUCCUAGCCAACCGAUCCGACUUGGCGCCCGUGUCUGGGCGCGUCCGGGUGUCCCCAUAUCCACCCCGGCAGCAGCGUGCCCGUCUCCCUGUACCUCUGGCAGACCUUGGCCUUGACUUACGGACAUAACAUUAAACAUGCGGUCUAUACGGACAGACGCGAGCAGCAUGGGGUCGCGCGUUGGAGUUGGCCUCAUCCAUUAUCUCUGUCCAUUUUACACUUUUCUCAUAAUAAAUUGGACUAGUGUCUAUACGAUUGAAGCUAUAAGGAUUGUUUCAAAUUUGUUUUCAGUUUAACAUUCUUUUCUUGCCAAAUGAUACCUUUCAUGCAGUGUGCAUCCAGCAACUGAAGAGAAUUUUUUUAUUCAUAAGAACAUAAAUCAGCGUCUGCUUAUUAUGUUUAUAUCUACUCCUUUCGGAAACAUACAUGUAAGUAAAAAAAUAUGUGCUUAUAUCUAGUUUCAAAUUUUAUAUUGUAUUGUAACUACAUUGUUCAUUUUUGAUUUACAGGUUUCCUAAAGCUAGCAAAUGAAAAUGUUUAAAGAAGUUAAUGGUGAAAGCUUCAGACUCUUCCAACAGCAAAACAUUUUGACAUGGGGCAGUCACAUAUAGGCAUCUUUUUAAUGAACUGAAUGUUCAUUAUUGCUUGAUAUCUAACUGUAGUUAGUAUUUGUGAUGGUAAGACCAUGAUUACCACAUUAAUAUCCUUGGUGCAGUGUUACUCGUGCGAAUUUGACAUGUAUAGCUUAUGGUCAACGUGUAUGAUUGGGUUGAAUUAUUUUAUUGUUGUGCUGAUUAUGUGUAUAUUUCAUGUUUCCUACUUUU